GUCGGUGCUAAGAGGACUUGAAAGUUCAAACCACCACUCACGAACCUCAUUCAGUUGCAGCCUUCAGAAACAAGAAAAGCUCUCUGCAAAUCCUUGGUUUUCACCUUCAUCUUCUUCAAAAGGUUUUCGAGCGGUAGACAUGGUGAUCAAGUCCCUGGAGGUGACGGUGAUGUCCGCCAAGGACCUCCCCAACGUCAACGUCAUCCAUAAGAUGGACCCCUAUGUCAUCGUCUCCCUCUCCGGCAACCACAAGCAGCGCACCCACGUCCACAAGAACGGCGGCACCAGCCCCAGGUGGGUCAAACUCCUCACCUUCCCCGUCGACGAGGCCCGCGCCGACCUCCUUAUCCUCAUGUUCGAGAUCAUGACCGAGAAGACCUACGGCGGCGACAAAGAGGUUGGCAAGGUCGAGGUGCCGAUCGCGGAGCUGCUCGAGAAGCAGGGGGACGGGAAGCCCAAGCAAAUAAGCUACAGCGUGAGUCUGCCGUCCGGGAAGACCCAGGGGGUCCUGGAAUUUAAUUACAAGUUCGGCGAGGAGCUGCCGGGGGGAUGUGGAAAUACGCCGGCCCCAGAGCAGGGGCCUACAAAGAAGAGCGGCGGGCAAGGUUGGAUCGGCGGGUUGGCUGGCGGGUUGGCCGUCGGGUUGGCCAGCGGGUUGGUCGACGGGUCGGCCAGCGCGUUGGCCGGCAAGUUGACUGACGGGUUGUUCGGCACAGCGCAGCCGGAAGCCGCAGUGGACGAGCCGGAAGCCGCAGUGGACGGGCCAGAAGCCGCAACGAACGGGUCGGAAGUCGCAGAGGACAAGUAAGAUGAUGUUCUUGAUAUAUAAAGCUGGGUUUUUUCUUGCUUUGUCCGCUAUGUUUGAUUUGUAGUACGCUAGCGUCACCCUAGGUUCGGUGGUGGUAGUCCCCGGUGUCUGAUGUGCGCUUUUUCUAAUUUUCUGUGUGUGAUUAGACUAGAGGCGUCAGUCGAUGACGCCGCGUUUGGGUUUUUUUUUUUUUUUCGUGUGUAAUCACUUAUCAUAAUGGACGCGUGUGUUUUAUGGACCAAAAUAGCGAUCUGACCUUUCGAUUUUGUCUCUUUUUCCUUUCGGUUGCUUUCUUUUUGUAAUUUAUGGCAGUGAAUUGGAUCGUAGAGUUGGUAUCUCACUAAAAUAAUGACACAGUUAAUAAAAAAUACAUCGAGAAAGAUAAAUAUGACCGAUCUUUACAAUCCCUGUAUCGAUCAUCUAGAUCAAGUGUCAUGGCCGCUUAGGUGACCUUGAUCUGGGGUCAUCCAUGACCUCAGACAAGGUGGAUGGGGGUGGGGAGGGGCGGCGAGCAAGAUCAGCCACCGCCGAGGGUGCUUUGGUGUUUUUCAGCCAUGGAAUGGAUGGUUAAACUACAAAAGUUGAGGAGGGUUUUUGCGCAUUUUCCAUAUAAUAGGACUUAUUAUCACAUUUAUGCAUAUUAACUCGAGAUUAUCAUUCCAAUGGAGUAACUUCAAUUAUUGUAAUGUUUAAACUUGUCUUUCCAUGGGGUUAAUUGUUAGAUUAAUGACGGUCAAGAUUCUAUCUGUUGAUUUUAUAAGUCGUCUCUCAUGUGAAGACGUCACAACCAACCCCACGCGCUUUGUUGUUUCUGUCAACUAAAAGAAAGGAGAAAGGGAUAGAGAGAGUUGAUUGGCGAUUGCCUUCGCAUGCCUCCGCAGAAUACGCCGAAACAAUUCAUUUUCUCUUUUGCUACUUUGGAGGAGAGGUUAAUUAGGUGGCCCGCGGAUGAUUUUCAAGAACCAAAUCUGACCUAUCUUUCGAGCGAUGAGAAGAUUUUUGUUGGUGAAAUGGAUUUUUGCAUAAAUAUAAAAUUUCACAGUCGUUCUGUAAUUUACUUUACAGGGAAUUUGGUCCGCUCGAAUCUGUUAAUAUCAGGAUAUUAUCGAUUGUGGUUGCAACUGGUUCAUCCAUUUGUGAAGACAUGUCGGAUUGGAAUGAAGUCGUUCUAGUUUGAGGCCGUGCAAUUUGACUAACUUAUGGAACAUUUGAAGUUCUGGUCAAAGAACCUAACUAAUAAUCCAUUAUUCUAAUACAACUAGUCCGAUGAAUGGAUGAAAACGUUGUGAUCUUACUGCUAAUUAUUGCCAAUGGACAAGUCGUGCACAAGACCAUUGGCGUCUCUUCAUGACCUCACAUUUAGGUAUUGCCGUCAAUAAAGUAAGACGAUUUUAGAUGGCCCGGCUCUCGAUGAGUUUAAAUAAAUGAGUAUAUUGAAGAUGGGUUUCAUUAUCAAGUUCCUUAUAAACACUUGUUAAACAAUCGACUAAGAUAUUUUUCGUGGCUCCGAAUGUAUUGAUUUUGCUCAUGAUAACACUUUGAAAACGUAAAUUUCCUCAUCAUAUAAAAUUUAACAAGCGUGUUCAGUUUACUCAUGAACAUAAUUUUUCAAGCAUACAUAGUAAGUGAUCAAAUAAAGAGAAGCCGCAGUAUGGAUGAUUAGAAUAUCGAGGUACCCUCUUAUCAAAUAACAUUAGUCAAUGUCCUAGAAACACUACUCAACAACACCAGUGCAAUUAACACUAAUUUCUAUGUUGCUGGACCGAAGCUUGUUUUCUUCUGGCGUGUCAAGUUGAACAAAAUCCAAUGACAAACAAAAACCUGCCUUGAUUUGGGAUCUCAAGGACAAGAAGGUUCCCCUAAUCCCUUCACAGGAAAAACAAUAAUUUAUUUUUCGUAUUAAUCAAUCAUUAAAUAAUUUCCUAAUCCUAAUUAGCAUCUUUAAGAAACUCGUCGGCACGGUCGCACGUUUACUCAAGGGAGCUCUCGCGAGCCCAUGAAGGCAACGUGGCCCAGACGAAAGAGACUCCAUCAUGGACUCUGCAUACGCAAUCCUCCACGACCCACGGGCUCUUGACCAUUGAUGGGCCGACCCGACUGGAUCCACCUGAUGACGGGUCAAGAAAUCCGAACCCUUCCAUAGCUAAAGGAACUCAUGGAUUGUGGGCUUUAUCCGCUCCAAUCCAAACGGAUACGGUGCGGGUAUUUUUUUAAUCGGACCCGAUGGAAUGAACCAUCUCUCUCUCUCUCUCUCUCUCUCUCUCUCUCUCUGUAUAUAUAUAUAUACGUUUUUUUUUUUUAACUUUGCUAAGACAACGGUACCGUCAUUUACAUUUAAUAACAGUGUAUUUCUCACCACAUAUUUGUUUUACAAGUUCAUGGCAACUGGGAGGACUUGUAGAUGAAUUUAAAUAUAAAUUUUAUAAGAUACACAUACCUUAUUUACUUCUACAAAGUAAGCUAAAAAGAAAGGAUAAUGGCAUGCUAAACAAUGUUUUUUUUUUUUUUUUUGGUAAAGGUAAGAAAUAUAUAGAUUUAGCAUAAACUUACAAGGAAGGGGGGGAAACCAGGCACCAAUAGAGCAGACACUCAAGGCGACCAAAGUCGAAAGAGAGUGUAGGGGUGCCAUGGAUCCAAAGAGCAGCAAAGAAAACCAAACAAGGAUACCUAAACAACAAAGACUCAACUAGACCGAAAGACCCUCCAUCAAUCAAAGAUAGACGGACUCAAGUUCCAGCUCUGUUGCAGCCUUCUGUUCGUCGGGGUAUCCAAGACAUGCUUGAACGUCAUCGCUUUGUCUUUAAUUGCCUUACAAAGGUGCAUCUUCAUCGCCGGGAUAAAGUGAGUCUGAUUCCGAAAGAUGAUGUUAUUGCGCUCUUUCCAUAUUAUGUAGCAAAGAGCACCAAAGCUGAAUCGAGCCAUAGAGUGAUAAAAGCUCCUGUUCGAGAAUCGUCUGGAUGCCCAAUCAAGAUUCUCCCGCCAGGAAUUGUUCCGCCACAAGGCAUUGAAUUUCGCAGCCCAGAAGGAGGCAAGAUUCCCCGGUAUACGGCAUGCGAAGAAGAGGUGAUUCACCGAAUCAGGCCUGCUUGAACAAAAAGGACACAAAGAAGAUGCUGGAAUCAACGCAAAUGAGAGGAGAAGAACCUGAGUUGGCAACCUGUUACGGGUAAUAAGCCAUAGGUGGGUUUGGUAUCUCGACGGCAUGGAUGAGCUCCACACAAACGAAGACCAAGACACCACAUUUCCUUUGGGUCUGAAGAGAUCCCAAGCAGACGCCGUUGAGAAUUUCCCCGAUGGAUGCCGUAACCAUUGGAAAUGGUCUUCUUGUUGAUUAAACUCAGGUAGGGGAUCCCACCAAUUAGCCCUAACAUUAAUAACAUACCAACCAAGAGGCGUGGACAAAGCAUCAGCAACAGAGGCAUCUUGGGGGAUGCCGGAACGAUAUAUCUCCUGGUUGGAAAAUAGAAUAUUGAGAGGGCCAUUAGGGUGCCAAGGAUCGAACCAGAAUGACACAGCUUUUCCAUUCCCUAUCCUCCAUCUGAAAUGCUGCUGGUAAACAUACCGAAGGCGAAGGAGUCUUUUCCAAGCCCAAGAACAAUAAGUGGGGAUAGGAGUAAUCCAGAAAUUCUUCCGGUUUAAAAAUGUGGAGUGGAUCCACUUACACCAGAGAGAUUCUUUGUCCGAGAAGAGCUUCCAAAUAUGCUUCCAAAUAUGUUUUUUUUUUUAAUUGGUCAUUAUGUUAAAAAAGUAAAACUGAAAAUACUAAUGAGAUCGACUAAUCCGUUAGCUAGCGAUGUGAUACCUACUUGGCAUCUUAUGUUGCUUUCGAAAUAAUUAAUUAACAAUUAUAAAACAAAAGAAAUGUAGAAGAAAACAACCGUUAAUCACUUGACCGUUGUUGUCGCUCAAGAGAAUUUCAAUGAAUUUCACUUACUUAAGAAUUUGUCUUAAGUCUCACAUGGUCAUGUAAGUUUUCACAAUGAACCAAUAUUCGUGGUUGAUAACAAUAUCGAUCUUCUCCGACUCAAUAUCUCCUUUUAAUUGGUGCACGGGAAUGGUGUGGUGGAGGAUUUUCAGUUUAGGAUCAUCCAUUUGGAUUCUGCGAGCUAUGUGCAAACUACUUAAUUUAAAAUCACCCACCUGCACAAAUAAUAAAUCCGGGCUUAAUUGAGUUUUGAACAUGAGUAUGUCCUUAAAUUGUUUCGACUGAAAUUUAGAACGUAAAAUUCAUGGAUAUUCCCUUUUGCACAGAAAAGACAAAGAUACCCAAAAAGUAAGGGUGUGCAUGGAAACACUCCAAAAAAGUGUUUCCGGCACACUUCUGUACGGAAAGUGUUCCCGAGAACAAAAAAGGAACAGAAACGCGUUUGGUUGCGUUUCCGUUCUUUUUUUGUUUUUUUGUUUCUAGAACGAAAUAAGAACAGAAAAAAGAAACAACAAUUUGUUGUUUCUUGUUCCAGAAACAAAAAUGAAGAAACAUUUCCGGCGAGCUUCUUCUCUCUCUUCUUCUUCUCUUCUUCUUUUCUUCUUUUUUUUCUUCUUUUCUCUUUCGCCGGUCGCCGGCCUCGGCCAUGGCCGGCGACCGGCCGUCGAGGCUCAGCCUCGCCCAAAUCCGGCGAGGCCGAGCGUCGCCGGCCCCCGGCGAGGCUGCCGGCCCCGUCGGCCGGUCGCCGGAGGCCAGUGACCGGCCGAAAAAAUAAAAAAUAAAAAAGAAAGGAAAAAAUGAAAAAUAAAAUAAAAAUGUUUAAAAAAUUAAAAGAAUAAAAUUUACCAAACGUGUUUCUGUUCAUUUUUUAUUCCCGGACCAAAUGUUACCAAACGCGUUCUUUUGUUCAAAAAUUGUUCCCCGGAACAUAAACACUUUUUUUUGUUUCUGUUCCCAGGAACAAAAAAAGAACAGAAACGUUACCAUUCGCACCCUAAUGGACUUUCUCAAGAUAUCACCCUACAUAGCCGAAGUAUGUAACCCUAGCUUGUAUUAUAUAAAGAUAUCACCCUACAUAGCUGAAGUAUGUAACAAAAAUUCUAUCACUGAAACACAAAAACACUUAUUAGCAAUUGUCACUCAUUAACAUCUUGUUAGUUUAUUAUUUUUACAAGAAUAUCGAGGUACCAUCCUAUCAAAUAACAUUAGCCAAUGUCCUAAAAACGCUACUCAAUAACACCAGCGCAAUUAACACUAAUUUCUAUGUUGGUGGACCAAAGGUUGUUUGUUUUGGCGUGUCAAGUUGAAUUAAAUCCAAUGAUUAGUCUUGAUUUGGGAUUUCACGGACAAGAAGAUUCCCCUAAUCCCUUCACAAAUUUAUUUUUAUUUUUAUUUUUCGUAUUAAUCAAUCAUUAAAUAAUUUCCUAAUCAUGAUUAGCAUCUUUAAGAAACUCGUCGGCACGGUCGCACGUUUACUCAAGGGAGCUGUCGCGAGCCCAAGAAGGCAAGAAGGCCCAGACGAAAGAGACUCCAUCAUGGACUGCAAACGCAUUCCUCCACGACCCACGGGCUUUUGACCAUUGAUGGGCCGACCCGACCGAAUCCAACCAAACGGAUAGGAUGCGGGUUUUUCUUUUCAUCCGACAUGGAAUGAACAUCUAUAUAGUCGAGAACGGAAGAUAAAUCUAUUCUGACCUUAUCCGCUUAACUGAAUCUUCUCUGUUUCAAAUCUAUAUCAAUGAUCUCCUCCAUAAAACCCAUCCAAAGUCCGCAUUAGAAUCCUCCUUCAGACGACGAUCUCUCUUCCAUGGCGAUGACCACUGCUGGCGGCGGCGAUGGCGGCGGCUGCUGCGCCUUCGCCCUCCAGGUCCUCAGGGGCCGGUGGUUCAUGAUGUUCGCGUCCUUCCUGAUCAUGGCGGGCGCGGGCGCCACCUACCUCUUCGGCGUCUACUCCAAGGACAUCAAGUCCACCCUCGGCUACGACCAGUCGACCCUCAACCUCCUCAGCUCCUGCAAGGACCUCGGCGCCAACGUCGGCGUCCUCUCCGGCCUCAUCGCCGAGGUCGCCCCCACAUGGCUCGUCCUCCUCGUUGGCUCCGCCAUGAACUUCGCCGGCUACUUCCUCAUUUGGCUCGCCGUCACCCGUCGCAUCCCCCGCCCCGCGGUCUGGCAGAUGUGCGUCUACAUCUGCGUCGGCGCCAACUCCCAGAACUUCGCCAACACGGGCUCCCUCGUCACCUGCGUCAAGAACUUCCCCGAGAGCCGCGGCAUCAUGCUCGGCCUGAUGAAGGUAUUUCAUGGACGACUGAUUUCUCGUCAAAUAUUCAUAUCGGCGACGUAACGAAUACGCGAAAUGCUUUCUCUCGUCUCGUGCAGGGCUUCGUGGGGCUGAGCGGCGCGAUGAUGACGCAGCUUUACUACGCCAUCUAUGGGGACGACUCCAAGUCCCUCAUCCUCCUCAUCGGGUGGCUGCCGGCGGUGAUCUCGAUCGUCUUCGUGUACACCAUCCGGACGAUGAAGCUCUCGACGCACCCCAACGAGCUCAAGGUGUUCUACGAGUGCCUGGCCAUCACGGUCGUGCUCGCGCUGGUCAUCAUGGCCCUGACCAUCGCCCAGAAGCAGGUCAGCUUCUCCCAUGGGGCCUACGUCGUGAGCGCGGUCGCCGUCUGCGUCUUGACCUUCCUCCCCCUCGGGAUCGCGGUGAGGGAGGAGUGGGCCACGUGGAAGCAGAGGAAGGCACAGAAACCUACGACGGCGACCGUGGGAGUUGCUGGUGAUGACGCCUCCAGUCCUGCUCGUGAUUUGGAAAUUCAUGCGACUGAUCAGCGGAGGCAAGAAGAGCAAGAGGCUGCCAACCCGAAUGACACUUCGUGUUGUGCCGAUGUGUUCAAGCCUCCCGAAAGAGGUGCGGACUACACGAUCAUGCAGGCCCUCUUGAGCUUGGACAUGAUCACUCUCUUCGUGGCGACGUUCUGCGGCCUUGGAUGCAGCCUGACUGCGGUCGACAACCUGGGCCAGAUCGGCGAGUCCCUGGGCUACCCGCAGCACACGAUCGGCACGUUCGUGUCCCUCGUGAGCGUGUGGAACUACUUCGGUCGGGUCCUCGCCGGGUUCAUCUCGGAGAUCAUAUACGACAAGUGGAAAGUGCCCCGCCCCGUCAUCAUGAUGCUCUCGCUCGUCGUGUCGGGGGUCGGGGACCUCCUCAUCGCGUUCCCGGCCCCCGGGUCGGUCUACGUCGCCUCCCUCCUCAUCGGGUUUUCCUUCGGCGCGCAGCUCACGCUCCUCUUCAUCAUCAUCUCCGAGCUCUUCGGGCUCAAGUAUUACUCGACGCUGUUCAACUGCGGGCAGCUGGCGAGCCCCCUCGGGUCGUACAUCCUCAGUGUGCUGGUCGUGGGCAGGCUUUACGACGUGGAGGCGACGAGGCAGCUUGCGGCCAGGGGGCUGACACGAUCGGCGGCGAAGGAGCUGACCUGCAUCGGGAGGCGGUGCUACCGGACGUUGUUCAGCAUCCUGGCGGGCGUGAACGCGCUGGGGGCGCUCGUCUUGCUGGUUUUGGUCGUGAGGACUAGGGAGUACUACCAAGGGGAUAUCUACAAGAGGUAUAGAGAUCAAAUGGCUGAGAAUGAGAAAGGGAUUGCGUUGAGCAAUGCCGGCAUUGAUGAUCCUGAGGAUGUAAAAAAUAGGAAGUGACAAGGAUCAAGUGAAGGUGGUGAACCCAUCUUCUUCUUCUUUUUCCUCUUAAGUUUUUCAUGCUUGCGAUUUAGUGCGAACACGAAUUGCUUAAUGUACACGAGUCUCCUCUUCCUGGUUCGUCUGUGCUUUUUGUUUUUUGCCCACAGAGAUUUCGAUCAGCAAAUGUCCUUGAUCACAUUCUAAAGUUCCAUCUAAUCCGGUGAUUUUAAUAAACUCAGUAGUAGUCGAUCAAAUUGAUUAUUAUGAUGAUAACUGUCAUUGAAUCUUGGCCGAAACACGGUAAAUUUGAAAAAGAAAAUACUGUGGAUAACUUAUGAAAUUUGAAUCCCUUCGGCAGUUAAGUUAGAUGAGAUCAUUCCAAUUGUAAUCUGAUCACCAGAAAGGAUUUUCAAGUUGUUUUCUUAUCGUUAUUAGUCAAAGUAGGUAGAGUCAAAUCUCAUGCAAAGUGGCUCGUCGGCCAGAUCCAAAUGGAGAUAAGGCCGAGACCCAUCUGAUUGACCCGAGCACCCGAAUUGCCCCCAGUCCAGCCCAACAGCAUCUUUGGAUUUCGUGAUGCCCUUGGAGCACCCGAAUUAUUAAAAUCACCAAAUUUUGUAGUGAAAUUUUUUUUUUUUUCGAGGAAAAUAGUUUGACAAUACUAGGGGUUUUCUCAGAUGAAUGGUUAACGUGAUUGCGAGAGUGCUCGAUAAUUUAUCGGUCGCAUGCACAAAAUCAAAUGGAAAAAGAAAAAGCAUUCAGGCAAUUUGUUUGUCCCGAUUUUCUUCCUCUGUCAUAAAAUAGAGAAGAUGGGCUUCGUGGUUGAUAACAAUAUUGAUCUUCUCCGACUCAAUAUCUCCUUUUAAUUGGUGCACAGGGAUGGUGUGGUGGAGGAUUUUCAAUUCAGGAUCAUUCAUUUGGAUUUCACGAGCUAUGUGCAAACUAUUUAAUUUAAAAUCACCCAUCCACACAAAUAAUAAAUCUGGGCUUAAUCGAGUUUUGAACACGAGUAUCUCCUUAAAUUGCUUCAUUCGAACUCUAUGAACUUUGAGGCAUAAAAUUCAAAGAUAUUCCCUUUUGCACAGGAAAAAUAAAAAUAAAGAUAUACCUAAAAAUUUAGGGACUUUCUCAAGUGAGAUAGUAGAUUCCAUCGUAACAUUUUUGAAAGUUGUUUGAGGAACUAAUAAGCUAGUGUAGUAGCUAGAAGAGGGAGAUGAAAGCCCUCCUGCUAGGCCUAUGUGUACUUCGGAUAGUGUCUUUCAACCGGGUUGGUUAAAAGACACCGUGCGAAGAUAACAAAUCUGGGCUCAAUCGAGUUCAUUAAACUUGUAGGAUAGUCAAAGCGCCUGCAGACUGUCCGUCAGAUCUCUUUUGUCCGGUGUUUUGGAUUUUCAAAAGAAGAAAUGUAUGUAUAGAUUGGCUCAUUUAUGCCGCUACAGAGCCUUUUGCAGAAGGCAAUGGCAGGACAUCGUAUUGACGAUCGCAGGCUUUGACGCUGUGCUUUUGCUCCUCUAUGUAUUAGUCUCCGUUUCUUUGAGCAUGGCGGAUAAAAAGGACUUUCUAAGUGCUAGAGGGCUUGAUAAAGGAGGCGAUUUUUCUCUUCCUUUGGUUUCCUUUAUCUGGUCUAAUUGGAGGCUGCUUCAUUAUAGUGAAAAUGUCAUUUGCCCACCCUGGAAAGUCACAGAAAAGGUCAUUGGGUUUGCGUGUGCAUUGAGGUUAGAAGGGAAUUAGCGAGGAGAGUACACGGUUCAUAUUCCCUUGCAUCUGCUGUCCAGCCAAUCCUCGUGGGACCUGCCUAUGAAAAAUUGCAUUUUUUUUAAUUAGGUUGGACUAUAGGAUGGGCGUUGUGGGCCCCACUACCUGCUGGGGGAGGGGGGAUCUGAUCUGAUCUGAUAGGAACUAGACAGAAGACAACCAGCUGCGGUACUGUUACAUAUAAUAAAAUCGAAAAAGGAAAAAAAAGAUAAGCUUUUUUUUCCAAGAGACCUUGACUCUUUUUUUUCCAAGAGACCUUGUUCGCUGUCCUAUUAUCCUAUUCUACGGUCUACCGUCAACUAGAGAGAUGGUUGCCUCCUCCCAACUCCCAUCAGCCGCGUCUUGUUUCCAAACCACUGGAUUUUCGGGCGAAUGCUUUGACUCGACUGGGUCAGCAUAGGCUGGGGUUAGUCGUAUUUCAUGGCUAUGAUGGUACCUGUUGAACCAUGGUCGGGCGUGAGAAUCUUAGAUCUAAAUCCUCCAAAGAAUGCACAUUGCUAGAUUUCCUUUUUGACCAUGUCGAUGCUAGCACCAGAUCUACGCGAGGAUCAGUGGCUACUCUGAAUGAAGUCAAUUUUUCCAAAGUCCGGUUCCAAGAGUAGCUUGAGUGGAUUCUCUCGGGUAAUGCUUUCAGAAGCAAGAAACACAACGGGGAUUCCAUCUACUUCAGAGCAAUACCUAUAAUUUACCAUUUUCUUUUCUCCUAGAACUUGGAAUGAGUAGCUAUAGUCUUCCACGUUAGGUUGCAGAUCAAUGACAUUCGACAGAGGAGACCCAUCAACGGCGAUUGAAUGACGUGAGAAAAGUCAAUAACCUGCUUGAUUACGCAGAGAGAGAAAAGCAGGGCUGACACGGACUGAUAGAACCUAGGAUGGUCCCAUUGCUGUGAUGGAACUGCGCCUUGCUGCAGUUGGCCCUAAUUUUUAGUGUAAGCGCGUCUUCUCAUUUAAAAGCAAGAGCACUUUGAGUGAUUGGCUCAAUGAUGUACACUUCUCUUUCUGCUGUGUCUGUAUCAGACGAGCAUCAAUUUGACUGCAUUUGAGUUUUGAGAUGAGCAUAGCAGUGAGGGAUGGUUCCCUAUUUGACGAGCAUUUUUACGAAGACAAUGCAGCCAAAUUUCCAGUUCAGCUAGAUUGUACCUUACUCCUACCACUAGGAUCUUGCACGCCGCAAUUUAAAAAUUUCUUCUGUUGUUGUUCAGCUAGAUUGAACCUUGUUCCUACCAUCUUGUCCAUCACCCUUUGUUUAAUUCCUCUAGCCUGAUGUCGUGACUUUGUCCUUUGAUUACGAUUCAUUCAGAAGGGCCUCUGAUUUUCUCUCUUCUUUCGCAGUUUGUUCAUUCACAGGGACAGCAGCGCGGGCAUAUCUAAUCUGGGGUUUUCUCGGGGUGGGACGUCCACAGCCACCACCACCGAUGGCGGCGGAGGGAGUGGAUCCGACGGAGGGGACAGGGACCCCUUUGGAAUGAUAUUUGGGAGCGACGCACCACCGGCAUAUUCAUCAGCUAUCUCCUUUUGUCUUUACUAAUCAUUUUGUUAAACAAACCAAUGAAGGAAUUUUUAGCGGUACCCAAUGUGCUAAUUGUGCUCGUGAUAACAUUUUAAAUCAUAGAUUUUCUCAUCACAUAAAACUUAACAAGCGUCUCAACUUUAUUCUUAAUCAAAAUUCUUCGAACAUACAUAAUAAGCGAUUAAGUAAAGAGAAAUUGCGGUAUCUGAGGCUACAAUAUCGAAGCACCCUCUUAUCAAAUGACACUAGCCAAUCUCCUAGAAUUGUUGCUUAACAACAUCGGCGCAAUUAGACACUAAUGCCAGAGUGGGGGGACUAAAGGUUGUUUUGUUUUGGCAUGCCAAGUUGAAUUAAAUCUAGUGACGAAACUGUAUUGUGCUGCGAUUGCAAGGACAAGGGGGUUCACCUAAUCCCUCCACAAAUCAUUUUUGCAUUAAUCAAUCGUUAAUUAAUUCCCUAAUCUUAAUUAGCAUCUUUAAGGAACUUGUCGGCACGGUCGCAUGUUUGCUCAAGAAGGCAAAAUGGCCCAGGCGAAUGAGACUCCAUCGUGGACUCCGCAUACGCAGCCCUCCACGACCCACGGGCUUUUUGACCAUUGACUGGCUGACCCAACUAGAUCCACCCGACCCUUCACGGGUCAAGAACUUCGAACCCGUCCGUACCAACUACCAAGAGACGGCGAUCUUCCCAUGACGACCACCACCGGUGGCGAUGGUCGCAGGUGAUUCUGCAGCUUCGUCCUCCGAAUCCUCCGAGGGCGGUGGUUCAUGAUGAUGUUCGCGUCGUUCCUGAUAAUGGCGGGCGCCGACGCCACUCCUACCUCUUCGGCGUCUGCCCCAGGGACAACAGGUCCACCUCGGAUACAUGAUAUUAAUUAAUUAUUCAUCCACAAUAGAUAGUGGUGGCUGGGGACAUAUAUAGUGAAUCAAGCUGUCCCACAUAUUUAUUUCCUUUUCGACAAAAUAUGAAGGACACGUGCCCAAGGAUUAUUUCUAAGAAACAAAUCAGGUCGAAACCGUAAUUGAUUUCAAGUGGAGAACAUUACGAAACAUCGUCCACUUUUCUUGGUUUCACACCCUCUGGAGUAAUCUUUAAAUUUGCUUUCCUAUUUGAAUCUCCUAUUCAUUAAACCUUCUUUCCUUUAAAAGACCCCAAGUCAACUCUUAAGUCCCCUCUCUCUCUCUCUCUCUCUCUCUCUCUCUCUCUCACUCAUAAAUAUGAUUAAAGAAAAACUAAAAUAAGAUUUUAAAAUAUAAAUUAUUAUAAGUACAAAAUACUAUCACCUACUAAAAAAAAUUAUUAAUAUAGUCAGUACAAUUUUUACAUUUAUCCAGUAUCGUGACGCUUUCAUGAUUAGCAUCUUCGGUUACAUUUUUAAUUUUGUGUCUCGUCCGCAUCACCAUCAUUAUUUUCAUUGGCACUUGGAAUCUCUAGCGGCGUUCCUCGACUCAGCAGCUUCAUCUCCCAAAGCUAGCGCUCAAUCGUGCGCCGACUGGUCCUUUGCCGUAUUCAAAUUUUUUCUUGUAGGUCCAUGGAGCUUCUUACGAGAUCCAGUCCUUUUCCAAUUCGGUUUGCAGCAUCUCGUAAGUUCGCGGCAUCCUCCCAACGAUGCUGCUGCUUUAGUCUCGCUGCGACAGCCUGGGCCGCUAUCCCUCGUCAACACCUUACCACCGUGACGGCCCGAGCCCGCAAUGACGCUCCUACUGAUCCAUUACGAAGAGAUGCUCUUCGUGUCGUGCCAUCGUUGCACCUAUUGAGAUGAAUCUGGGGACAAUAAUUCACAACGAGUUAAACCUAAUCCAAGAUCAAUUUUUUUUCCCGAAACUAAAUCAACUGAAAUUCUCUUAACCCUAGCAUCAACUAGCAAUAUAUAACAUUACAAUAUACAAAUAUAUUGCCGAAAUGAUAAGUAGACAAAGCAAAUAACGACAUCAAGAAUUUAACAUAAAAAAUUUGAUAUGAGAAAAAUCAUGGACCACCCAAAAAACAUCAACUAAUUACCCAGGAUACACAAAGUAUUAUUUUUUAGUCACACACUAGAUGCUUAAUAUUAAUAUUACAAUCUCAUUUCAUCACCACAUAGGUAAAUAAAUAAAUUCGAAGUAAGAAAGCCUUAAUCGCAAGGGGAGAAUUCGGAGGCGAUUCUAGACGAACGAAAACCAUCAACUUUAGCCCUCGGUCUCACAAACAAUAUACUCAAAUUUGAGCCGAUUCUGUCAAUGUUUGGCCUUCUAAUCAAGAUCACAAAGUUGCAGCCCUUUUCUUUUAUUUUAUUCUCCUGUUUCGGUAGUUUUUGGUUCUCUCUUUCCUCACUUCGGGCGUACACGCUUACGCACGAAGGCCCAAUUUCUUUUCAACUUCUCUCCUUUUUUUUAUGUUUUUCCUUUAUUUUUUUCAAUGCUAGCUGGGCCCACAUAGAAGUAGACCCAGCCAACAGCACGUGCUACAGCGAGCUGCCUGGUAACUUCCUUGCUGUCUUACCGUGCUUCGGUAUCUAAUUUAUAUUUCUUUCAUCAUAUUCAUAAAAAUCGAUAGUGUGAAUCCUCUUACAUUUUUAUUUUUUAAUUUAAGUUGGCAAUAAAAAAACAUUAAAAAAAAUAAAAGAAAAGAAAAUUUGGGUAAAAAAUGAAAAUCCAAUUUCUAUCCAAAGAGUGCGGGCUAGAUAAGCCGCCCCCUUUUCCCCAGAACGAGGUUGGUGCUACAAGGACUUGAAGCCACCCCUCACGAACCUCGUUAAGAAGCCCGCUUCGCAAAUCAUCGGUUUUCACCUUCGUAACAUGAACAUCAAGUGCGUAGGAAAAAAAAAACACGGACAUCAAGUACGUAGAGACGACGGUGAUGUGCGCCAACGGCCUCCGAGACGUCAACCGCUUCCACAGGAUGGACCCCUACGUCGACGUCUCCCUCUCCGGCCUCUUCAAGCAGCGGACCGACGUCCGCAAGAACGGCGGUACCAGCCCCAGCUAGGGCAAACUCCUCGCCUUCCCUGUCGACGAGGACCGCGCCAGCCUCCUCUUCCUCUUCUUCUAGAUCAUGACCGAGAAGGCCGUCGGCGAGGCCAAAGAGGUCGGCAAGGUCCAGGUGCCGGUCGAGGAGCUGCUCCAGAAGAAGGGCGACGGGAAGCCCAAGCUGAUGAGGUACAACGUGAAGCUGCCGUCCGGGGAGACCCAGGGGGUCCUGGAAUUUUAUUACAAGUUCAGCGAGGAGCUGCCGGCCGGAUAUGAAAUUCCGCCGGCUCGAGAGGCUGCGUACCAGGAGCCUCCAAAGAAGAGCGGCGGGCAGCAGAUGAUCAGUGUGUUGACCGGCGGGUUGUUCUUCGCGGGGCAGGUGGUAAACACGCUAUUGGACGGGUAAGAUGAUGUUCUUGAUAUAUAAGAUUGCUUUGUCCGCUAUGUUUGUGUUGAAAUAAUAGUUAUUUCCUUUCGCACGUUUAGCUGAUUUUACGUUAUGUAUUUGUCUUUUAUAAAAGAUUUACGUUGUGUAUUUGUCUUUUGUAAAAGACUUUGUUGUUAUAAAUGAAAGAUAAUUUCAGCCUCAUCUCUCCUCUCUUUAGCAAUUUAACAAUUUGAACUUUGAUCUAUAGUACACCAGCGUCACCCCAGGCUCGAUGGUGGUAGUUCCCGGUGUCAGAUGUGCGCUUUUUAUUAUUUUUUCUAUGUGUAAUUAGACUGGAGGCGUUAGCCGAUGACGCCGCGUUCGGUUUCUUUUUCCUGUGUUAUCAUUGAUCAUACUGGACACGUUUGUUUCAUGGACCACAAUAGCGAUCCGACCUUUCGAUUUUGUCUCUUUUUCCUUUCGGUUGCUUUCUUUUCGUAAUUUAUGGCAGUGAAUUGGAUUGUAGAGUUGGUAUCUCACUAAAAUAAUGCCACACUUAAUGAAAAAUACAUCGAGAAAGAAAUUUUGGGGAUAUGAAUAUGACCGAUCUUUACAAUCCCUGUGUCAAUCAUCUAGAUCGAGCAUCAUCGCCACUUAGGCGACCUCGAUCUAGGGUCAUCCAUGACCUCAGACAGGGUGGAUGGGGGUGGGGAGGGGCGGUGAGCAAGAUCAGCCACCGCCGAGGACAAGGCUGCGGGUGCUUUGGUGUUUUUCAGCCAUGGAAUGGAUGGUUAAACUACAAAAGUUGAUGAGGGUUUUUGCGCAUUUUCCAUAUAAUAGGACUUAUUAUCACAUUUAUGCAUAUUAACUCGAGAUUAUCAUUCCAAUGGAGUAACUUCAAUUAUUGUAAUGUUUAAACUCAUCUUUCCAUGGGGUUAAUUGUUAGAUUAACGAUAGUCAAGAUUCUAUCUGUUGAUUUUAUAAGUCGUCUCUCAUGUGAAGACGUCACAACUAACCCCACGCGCUUUGAUGUUUCUGUAAACUAAAAGAAAGGAGAAAGGGAUAGAGAGAGUUGAUUGGUGAUCGCCUUCGCAUGCGUCCGCAGAAUACGCCGAAACAAUUCAUUUUCUCUUUUGCUACUUUGGAGGAGAGGUUAAUUAGGUGGCCCGCGGAUGAUUUUCAAGAACCAAAUCUGACCUAUCUUUCGAGUGAUGAGAAGAUUUUUGUUGGUGAAAUGGAUUUUCGCGUAAAUAUAAAAUUUCACCAUCAUUCUGUAAUUUACUUUACAUGGAAUUUGGUCCGCUCGAAUCUGUUAAUAUCAAGAUAUUAUCGAUUGUGGUUGCAACUAGUUCAUCCAUUUGUGCAUGCAUGUUGGAUUGGAAUGAAGCCGUUCUAGUUUGAGGCCAUGCAAUUUGACUAACUUAUGGAACAUUUGAAGUUCAGGUCAAAGAACCUAACUAAUAAUCCAUUAUUCUAAUACAACUAGUCUGAUGAAUGGAUGAAAACGUUGUGAUCUUACUGCUAAUUAUUGCCAGUGGACAAGUCAUGCACAAGACCAUUGGUGUCUCUUCAUGACCUCACAUUUAGGUAUUGCCGUCAUAAAGUAAGACGAUUUUAGAUGGCCCGGCUCUCGAUGAGUUUAAAUAAAUGAGUAUAUUGAAGAUGGGUUUCAUUAUCAAGUUCCUUAUAAACACUUGUUAAACAAUCGACUAAGAUAUUUUUCGUGGCUCCCAAUGUAUUGAUUUUGCUCAUGAUAAUGCUUUGAAAACGUAAAUUUCCUCAUCAUGUAAAAUUUAACAAGCGUGUCCAGUUUACUCAUGAACAUAAUUUUUCAAGCAUACAUAGUAAGUGAUCAAAUAAAGGGAAGCCGUAGUAUGGAUGAUUAGAAUAUCGAGGCACCUUCUUAUCAAAUAACAUUAGUCAAUGUCCUAGAAACACUACUCAACAACACCAGUGCACUUAACACUAAUUUCUAUGUUGGUGGACCGAAGCUUGUUUUCUUCUGGCGUGUGAAGUUGAAUAAAAUCCAAUGACAAACAAAAACCUGCCUUGAUUUGGGAUUUCAAGGACAAGAAGGUUCCCCUAAUCCCUUCACAGAAAAAACAAUAAUUUAUUUUUCAUAUUAAUCAAUCAUUAAAUAAUUUCCUAAUCCUAAUUAGCAUCUUUAAGAAACUCGUCGGCACGGUCGCACGUUUACUCAAGGGAGCUCUCGCGAGCCCAUGAAGGCAACAUGGCCCAGACGAAAGAGACUCCAUCAUGGACUCUGCAUACGCAAUCCUCCACGACCCACGGGCUCUUGACCAUUGAUGGGCCGACCCGAAUGGAUCCACCUGAUGACGGGUCAAGAAAUCCGAACCCGUCCAUAGCUAAAGAAACUCAUGGAUUGUGGGCUUUAUCCGCUCCAAUCCAAACGGAUACGGUGCGGGUAUUUUUUUCAUCGGACCCGAUGGAAUGAACCAUCUCUCUCUCUCUCUCUCUCUCUCUCUCUCUCUCUCUCUCUCUCUAUAUACGUUUUUUUUUUUUAAACUUUACUAAGACAACGGUACCGUCAUUUACAUUUAAUAACAGUGUAUUUCUCACCACAUAUUUGUUUUACAAGUUCAUGGCAACUGGUUAGACUUGUAGAUGAAUUUUAAAUAUAAAUUUUAUAAGAUACACAUACCUUAUUUACUUCUACAAAGUAAGCUAAAAAGAAAGGAUAAUGGCAUGCUAAACAAUGUUUUUUUUUUUUUUUCAAAUUGGUCAUUAUGUUAAAAAAGUAAAACUGAAAAUACUAAUGAGAUCGACUAAUCGGUUAGCUAGCGAUGCGAUACCUACUUGGCAUCUGAUGUUGCUUUCGAAAUAAUUAAUUAACAAUUAUAAAACAAAAGAAAUGUAGAAGAAAACAACCGUUAAUCACUUGACCGUUGUUGUCGCUCAAGAGAAUUUCAAUGAAUUUCACUUACUUAAGAAUUUGUCUUAGAUAGGUCAUUGUAGCUAUUCUCCGUCAAGGAAGAAUAGGGGUUUUCAAUUGUCAUUAGUACUUAUUAUUAUUAGAAGAAAUAAAUUGACCUCUAAUCCAUAAGAAACAAAGUAAAGUCAAGUCUCACCUGGUCAUGCAAGUUUUCUCAAUGAACCAAUAUUCGUGGUUGAUAACAAUAUUGAUCUUCUCCGACUCAAUAUCUCCUUUUAAUUGGUGCACGGGAAUGGUGUGGUGGAGGAUUUUCAGUUUAGGAUCAUCAAUUUGGAUUCCGUGAGCUGUGUGCAAACUACUUAAUUUAAAAUCACCCACCUACACAGAUAAUAAAUCCGGGCUUAAUUGAGUUUCGAACAUGAGUAUGUCCUUAAGUUGUUUCAUCUGAAAUCUAGCACGUAAAAUUUAGGGUAUUCCCUUUUGCACAGAAAAGACAAAGAUACCCAAAAAUUAACGGACUUUCUCAAGAUAUCACCCUACAUAGCCGAAGUAUGUAACAAAAAUUCUAUUGCCGACACACAAAAACACUUAUUAGCAAUUGUCACUCAUUCUCAUCUUGUUAGUUUAUUAUUUUUACAAGAAUAUCGAUGUACUAUCCUAUCAAAUAACAUUAGCCAAUGUCCUAAAAACGCUAUUCAAUAACACCAGCGCAAUUAACACUAAUUUCUAUGUUGGUGGACCAAAGGUUGUUUGUUUUGGCGUGUCAAGUUGAAUUAAAUCCAAUGAUUAGUCUUGAUUUGGGAUUUCACGGACAAGAAGAUUCCCCUAAUCCCUUCACAAAUUUAUUUUUAUUCUUAUUUUUUGUAUUAAUCAAUCAUUAAAUAAUUUCCUAAUCCUAAUUAGCAUCUUUAAGAAACUCGUCCGCACGGUCGCACGUUUACUCAAGGGAGCUCUCGCGAGCCCAAGAAGGCAAGAAGGCCCAGACGAAAGAGACUCCAUCAUGGACUGCAAACGCAUUCCUCCACGACCCACGGGCUUUUGACCAUUGAUGGGCCGACCCGACCGAAUCCAACCAAACGGAUAGGGUGCGGGUUUUUCUUUUCAUCCGACAUGGAAUGAACGUCUAUAUAGUCGAGAACGGAAGAUCAAAUCUAUUCUGACCUUAUCCGCUUAACUAAAUCUUCUCUGUUUCAAAUCUCUAUCAAUGAUCUCCACCCUAAAACCCAUCCAAAGUCCGCAUUAGAAUCCUCCUUCAGACGACGAUCUCUCUUCCAUGGCGAUGACCACUGCUGGCGGCGGCGAUGGCGGCGGCUGCUGCGCCUUCGCCCUCCAGGUCCUCAGGGGGCGGUGGUUCAUGAUGUUCGCGUCCUUCCUGAUCAUGGCGGGCGCCGGCGCCACCUACCUCUUCGGCGUCUACUCCAAGGACAUCAAGUCCACCCUCGGCUACGACCAAUCGACCCUCAACCUCCUCAGCUCCUGCAAGGACCUCGGCGCCAACGUCGGCGUCCUCUCCGGCCUCAUCGCCGAGGUCGCCCCCACAUGGCUCGUCCUCCUCGUUGGCUCCGCCAUGAACUUCGCCGGCUACUUCCUCAUCUGGCUCGCCGUCACCCGUCGCAUCCCCCGCCCCGCGGUCUGGCAGAUGUGCGUCUACAUCUGCGUCGGCGCCAACUCCCAGAACUUCGCCAACACGGGCUCCCUCGUCACCUGCGUCAAGAACUUCCCGGAGAGCCGCGGCAUCAUGCUCGGCCUGAUGAAGGUAUUUCAUGGACGACUGAUUUCUCGUCAAAUAUUCAUAUCGGCGACGUAACGAAUACGCGAAAUGCUUUCUCUCGUCUCGUGCAGGGCUUCGUGGGGCUGAGCGGCGCGAUGAUGACGCAGCUUUACUACGCCAUCUAUGGGGACGACUCCAAGUCCCUCAUCCUCCUUAUCGGGUGGCUGCCGGCGGUGAUCUCGAUCGUCUUCGUGUACACCAUCCGGACGAUGAAGCUCUCGACGCACCCCAACGAGCUCAAGGUGUUCUACGAGUACCUGGCCAUCACGGUCGUGCUCGCGCUGGUCAUUAUGGCCCUGACCAUCGCCCAGAAGCAGGUCAGCUUCUCCCAUGGGGCCUACGUCGUGAGCGCGGUCGCCGUCUGCGUCUUGACCUUCCUCCCCCUCGGGAUCGCGGUGAGGGAGGAGUGGGCCACGUGGAAGCAGAGGAAGGCACAGAAACCUACGACGGCAACCGUGGGAGUUGCUGGUGAUGACGCCUCCAGUCCUGCUCGUGAUUUGGAAAUUCAUGCGACUGAUCAGCGGAAGCAAGAAGAGCAAGAGGCUGCCAAUCCUGCAAAUCCGAAUGACACUUCGUGUUGUGCCGAUGGGUUCAAGCCUCCCGAAAGAGGUGCGGACUACACGAUCAUGCAGGCCCUCUUGAGCUUGGACAUGAUCACUCUCUUCGUGGCGACGUUCUGCGGGCCUUGGGAUGCAGCCUGACUGCGGUCGACAACUCUGGGCCAGAUCGGCGAGGUCCCUGGGCUACCCGCAUCUAGGGGUGUCAAUGGNNNNNNNNNNNNNNNNNNNNNNNNNNNNNNNNNNNNNNNNNNNNNNNNNNNNNNNNNNNNNNNNNNNNNNNNNNNNNNNNNNNNNNNNNNNNNNNNNNNNGUUUCGUAUAUAUAUAUAUAUAUAUAUAUAUAUAUAUAUAUAUAUUUUUUUUUCGGGUGGUUGUAACAGUCCCAAUCUUUUGCGAACAGGUUAUUACAAGAACACAAAAUACCUAUUAAUAAUUCCUGUGGAUGCUAUUUUUCAGGGACAAGCCAUAUGAUGCAGAACCUGGUAACCAAGUUAAUUAUAUCUUCUUGAGGCUACUAGAUAUUCAUGAAUUGGAAAGAACUGGUGAGUAAGACCUGUCCUUAAACUGUAGUCCAACAGAAAGCUUCUUGGUGACGAUGAACAGAAGAAACAUCACAGAGAAAACAAAGACUCCAUAAAAGACAAAGUAGAUGGCUCAUAAAUUGCUUUGGAAUGCAUAGCGUGGUUGGUGCAGCACCAAUACUCACAGCACAGCCAGUUGCAAGAGCCCCGCAAACAGCGACCAGUGUGCUAAAAACGAGAAGAGCCAUGACAGAAGAAUCGCUGGAAGAUGUGGAGUCGCCGUGAUUGCCACAAUUAGAGACUUCUUCUUUGAGAAGCAGAGAGCAUGUUGAGAGCCCAUCUUCUUCUUUGCCCUCUCUCUCCAUGUCUCUUUAUUUCUGAUGAGCAAGAAUUGCAAGGAAUGGACAAGAAGUACAAAAGGCAUUUGAGGCAGCCCUGAGAAGUAUUAGGUUCUGAUGAAAUAGUAUGUUGACUGGUGAUAAGAUAUAGCACCUGCGUAGCAAACACCAGCAGCUCACCAACAGCAAAAAAAGCCAGAAAAGGGUACAUGCUCUUGAAACAAAAGGCAGAAAAGCAAAAUAUUUCCCCAAGGAAUGAUGAUACUGAAAGGAGCUGUAGGAAACAUUCGAAAAGAAGUUUAAACACAGAUAAUAGGUUGCAAGUUACACUAAUAGUAAAAAGGGCGCCACAUUUUAACUUCAACUUUCCUCAGUUACUAGUCCACAACUGUUGCAGCAUGAUAUGCUGAAAAAUAGUGCACAUUCAUUCUGUUCUUUCACAAAGGGCACAUUACUACAUCGGAGACAAUUCCAACUUUUGUCCAUCGGUCUAUCUAAUUUACAAGCUCCAUAGGAGUAAUUCUGAAUUUUUCCACGCUCAAACCUUUCUAAAUUACAAAAUUUUAUUUUUAUCUUUUUAAAGCACUCACGUGUCCAUCAGAUUAUCAUCACUUCAUUCAAGCUUAGUUUGAAAGUGAUGGAGUAGUCAACAUUCCAUGCCAUAAAGGAUUGCUGCCCUCAUCUCUGUCCUAUAAAAUUCAAUAUUAAACAGAUUCUUGAAGUAUCAACACCAACAGCUCUCCCGCAUAGAGUAAAUUCAAAUUGUCCUGAACCCUGUUUGCAACUUGUGCACUAAAAUAUCUACAUCACAGAAUUCAUCCACCACCCAAUUUAGCAAGUCUUCCCAACAUCUCUAAGAUCAUAUGGGGUUAACUACUACUACCCCCAUCACCAGCAAAGGCUAGCCCACAUGCUAAGAACAACACGGAAACACGGCUAGACCGCAUAAACUCUCGAAUGCCUACAUCACUACCUCAGCUCAGCCUAGAGUCCCAAGAUUUCCACAGGAAGAGAGAGACCAAAUCGCUCCCAAGGAAAACAAUUCGAGCCCCGCGCAACUCAAAAAGAAGCAAGCUCGAACAAAGGAACGAAGAAAGCAACCUCAAACAGAGCCCUAAAAGAGCACCCGCCUCCUCUUUCACCACCACCAUAGCCAAUCGAAUUCGAAAAAAAAUUAACAGGAAAAUUCAACGAAGAAGAAGGACGCCAAAGCUCCUCGCGGAUCAAGAAAUCGAUGGAAGCACAGACCUGAGGGGUUUUCGGCCAUAGACGGCAACGAUCGACUGAUUCGGCGAUGACUAGGGUUCCGGCGUUGAGACGAGGGGUGGCGACGGUGACGGCGAGGCGGAGGCGCAUCGAUCGGAGGAGAGGCAGUCGUGAGCGAAGGCACAGUCGUCGGAGAAGAAGGCGGAGCCGAGAGGGAAAUGUCUGUGUCUGACGAUAAAGAAAGAUGAGGACGUGUUUACUGUUUGUGUUUGUGUUUGUGUUUGUUCGCUUGUUCGGAAGUAGGAGUUAACGUGUUUCGGGUCAAACAAUGUUCCAACCCUGACCCAACCCGAAACACGUUUCUUUACUUGUUUUAUAUGUGUUACCCGAACAGUAUCAAGACCCGAAACACGUAUCAUGCUUGUUUCGUGUUCGGGUCGUGUUCGGGUCGGGUCGGGUCGGGUCGGGUCGGGUCGGGUCGGAUUUUUUUGACACCCCUACCCGCAUCACACGAUCCUCGUGAGCGUGUGGAACUACUUCGGCCGGGUCUUCGCCGGGUUCGUCUCGGAGAUCAUAUACGACAAGUGGAAGAUGCCCCGCCCCGUCAUCAUGAUGCUCUCGCUCGUCGUGUCGGGGGUCGGGGACCUCCUCAUCGCGUUCCCAGCCCCCGGGUCGGUCUACGUCGCCUCCCUCCUCAUCGGGUUUUCCUUCGGCGCGCAGCUCACGCUCCUCUUCAUCAUCAUCUCCGGGCUCUUCGGGCUCAAGUACUACUCGACGUUGUUCAACUGCGGGCAGCUGGCGAGCCCCCUCGGGUCGUACAUCCUCAAUAUGCUGGUCGUGGGCAGGCUUUACGACGUGGAGGCGACAAGGCAGCUUGCGGCCAGGGGGCUGACACGAUCGGCGGCGAAGGAGCUGACCUGCGUCGGGAGGCGGUGCUACCGGACGUCGUUCAGCAUCCUGGCGGGCGUGAACGCGCUGGGGGCGCUCGUCUUGCUGGUUUUGGUCGUGAGGACUAGGGAGUACUACCAAGGGGAUAUCUACAAGAGGUAUAGAGAUCAAAUGGCUGAAAAUGAGAAGGGGAUUGCGUUGAGCAAUGCCGGCAUUGACGAGCCCGUGAAUGUAAAAGAUAGAAAGUGACAAGGAUCGAGUGAAGUUACGAACCCAUCUUCUUCUUUUUACUUUUAAGUUUUUCAUGCUUUAGUGCGAACACGAGUUGCUUAAUGUACACGAGUCUCCUCUUCCUGGUUCGUCUUAUUGUUUUUUGCCCUCAUAGAUUUCAAUCAGCGGACCUUCUUGAUCACGUUCUAAAGUUUCAUUUAAUCCAGUGAUUUUGACAAACUCAAUAGUAAUCAAUCAGAUUAAUUAUUAAGAUGAUUAACUGUUAUUGAAUCUUGGCCAAAACAGGGUACUCUUGAAAAGGAAAACACUGUGGAUAACUUUAUGAAAUUUGAAUCCCUUCGGCAGUUAAGUUAGAUGAGAUCGUCCCACUUGUAAUCUAAUCACCAGAAAGUAUUUUCAAGUUAUUUUCUUAUCGUCAUUAGUCGGAGUAGGUAGAGUCAAAUGUCAUGCAAAGUGGCUCAUGGGGCAGAUCCAAAUGGAGGUAAGGCCAAGACCCAUCUGAUUGACUCAAGGACCCGAAUUGCCCCCAGUCCAGCCCAAUAGCAUAUGUUGAUAUCGUGAUGCUCUUGGAGCGCCCAAGUUAUUAAAAUCACCUAAUUGGGUCGUGAAAUUCUGUUUUUUUUUUCGAGGAAAAUAGUUUGACAAUACUAGGGCUUUUCUCGGAUGAAUGAUCAACGUGAUGCUGCGAGAGCGCUCGCUAAUUUAUCGAUCACAUGCACAAAAUCAAAUGGAAAAAAGAAAAAACAUUCGAGCAAUUUGGAUAUCCCUUGUGUGGAUUUUCUUCCUCUGUCAUAAAAAAAGAAAAUGGGGUUCGUAGUUGAUAAUAAAUUAAUAAUAUUGAUCUUUCCCAACUCAAUAUCUUUUUUUAAUUGGUCCACAGGAAUGGUGUGGAGGAUUUUUAGCUCGGAAUCACCCAUUCGGAUUUCACGACAUGUGUGCAAACUGCUUAAUUCUAGGCCAAAAUCGCUCGCAUGGCAAGGAUAAUAUAUCCACGUUUAAUCGAGUUUCAGACCUGAGUAUGUGCUUAAACUGUUUCAUCUGAACUUUCAGACGAAAAUUCGAGGAUAUUUCCUUCUACACAAGGGAGAUAAAGAUAUACCCAAAAAUUAAGGGACUUUCUUAGGUGGAGAGAGAAGACUCUACCAUAACUCCUUCAAAAGUUGUUUGCAGGAGAUUGAAUGCCUCCAUCUCAAGAAGACUCCUUCCUUGUCCUCCUCAUGUGGCACCGGCAACCCCAUCGACGACUAAUGGUGGUGUGACCUGAACUGGGCCUCGAACCAGCGCCUGGUGAACUGCGGCAUCUGGUUCGGGCAGUCGGCGCUAGGGGGUUGUGACGGGCGCACCUACGUGGUCACCGACUCCUCGAACUCAGACGUGGUGGACCCGAAGCCAGGGACGCUCCGGUAUAGGGUCCUCCAGGAGGAGCCCCUGUGGAUCAUCUUCUCCGCCAACAUGAUAAUUUGGCUUAAGCAUGAGCUCAUCAUCAACAACUUCAAGACCAUCGACGGCCGGGGGCACAACAUCCAAAUCACCGGCAAUGGCUGCCUCACCAUCCAAGACGUCUCCCACAUCAUCAUCCACAACAUCCAUGUCCAUGACUACAAGCCCUCUGGCAACACCAACAUCCGGUUGUCGCCAACAAAAGUCGGGUUCCGUGGGGUGUGCGACGGGGACGGGAUAUUGAUAUUCGGGGCGUUGCACAUAUGGGUGGACCAUUGCUCCCUAUGGCACUACACCGACGGGCUGAUCGACGCCAUCAUGGGCUCAACGGCGAUCACCAUAUCGAACAGCUACUUCGCGCAUCACCUCACAAUGAGGUGAUGCCGCUGGGCCACAAGGAUACGUACGCCCCAGACUCCGAGAUGCAAGUGACCAUUGCAUUCAACCACUUCGGGGAGGGGCUGGUGCAGUGAAUGCCACGGUGCCGGCAUCCACGUGGUCAACAACGACUUCAUGGAGUGGCAUGUUAAAGUAUGUCUCGAGUUUGAGUCUAAUGCAAAAUUCCGAAUAUUCUGAUUUGGAUAUAUUAUGGACGUUCGAAAAGAAAUUGAGCAAAAAAUAUUCGAAAAUCAACUUCCCAAAGUUUGAAUCUGCAUUGGAGAAUUUUGCCGUUGAAAUAGGAAAGUUCAACUUUGAUUUGGAUUUGGAUUUUGUUUAAAAUAUACAGAGAUAUAUUUUGGAUAAAAUCGGGCAAGAUAGGAAACAGAAUCCUAUGAGAAGUUGGCAAAAGAAUAAAUGUCUCACUUAUAUAUAUAUAUAUAAACUUGUGGCCGUGGAUGGAAGAUGGUUGAUCAUGAAGAAGUUUUCUUGAAACGCCAUCUAGUCGUCGAAUGCUUGGGAGGGAUUUUUUUUGUCGUUCUUGUCUGUGAAUUACAUCCAAGAAAGAUUAGUUUUUGUAGCCGAUUUAAAUCUUGUGGUAAGAUUUUUUCGUGUAAUUCUUUCGUGAGAUUGAGAGAUUAUUUCUUGAGAAAUUUCGGUGCUAAACACUACAUGCGUUGUUGGGUAUAAUUGGGGUUUAGGAAACACCAUAAGAGUGUUUGAAUGACUUAAGUAUGUAAUCUCCUUGUAUUGCUUGAUCUAUAGUAAAAUUCGCCGCUACUCUCCCUGUGGACGCAGGUCUUUACGACCGAACCACGUAAAUCUGGUGUCCGAUAUAUUUUCUUCCUCUCUCUACAUUAUUGUUCAAUCGUUUGUUUUUUUCGUAACAAGUGGUAUCAGAGCUAGGUUUGGCUAAGUUGAAGUGAAUCGAUGGCGACAAAAGAAGUAAAAGUGAGAAUCGAUAGAUUUCAUGAAAAGGAUUUUAGUUUUUGGAAGAUGCAGAUUGAAGAUUAUCUUUACCGAAUGAAACUGCAUUUGCCCUUAUCUUGGGAGAAACAAGAGUCGAUGAAGCAAGCUGAUUGGGAUUUGCUGGAUAGACGAGCUAUGGGUAUUAUUCGACUGACGUUGACUCGUAACGUCGCAUUUAACAUCCUAAAGGAGAAGACCACUGCUGAUUUGAUGCAAGCCCUGUUGAAUAUGUACGAGAAGCCCUUUGCGAUCAACAAGGUCUAUUUGAUGCGACGUCUAUUUAAUUUGAAGAUGAGCGAAGGUGCAUUAGUUGCAGAUCAUAUCAAUGAAUUCAAUGUGAUUGUUAGUCAAUUGAGUUUGGUUGAGAUUGACUUUGAAGAUGAGGUACGUGCUUUGAUUCUAUUAUCCUCAUUGCCUAAUAGUUGGAAUACUACUGUUACUACUGUUAGUAAUUCCUCUGAGUCAACAAGUUUGGCGUUUGAUGGGGUUCGAGAUUUGAUCCUGAAUGAGGACAUUCGUAGAAGAGAAUCUGGCGAAUCUGUAUCUGCUGCUUUAGUAGGUGAAAAUAGAAGAAAAUCUAGAACACAUGUAGGUAAUAGUAGUACUAAUAUGAAUAGGCGUAACCAGUCUAGGACUAGUGAUGUUGUCUGUUGGAGUUGUGGCAAGAAGGGGCAUCUUAGAAGAAAUCACCUUAAACUGAAGAAUGAGAAGGAUAAGGGAAUUAUAGUUAAUUUUGCAAAUAAUGUUACAGCUAUAGCAGAUACUGUCGAUUAUGUCUUGUUUGUCACUAAUGAUUCAUCGUUUGAUGAAUGGAUUAUGGAUUCUGGUUGUUCUUUUCAUGUCACAACAAAUAGAAACUAGUUUAUCACUUAUCAAUGCACGGGUAGCGGUAAAGUCCAGUUAAGGAACAACGCUGAGUGCGAUGUUAUGGGUGUUGGUGAUGUUAAAAUCAGAAUGCAUGAUGGCAUUGUGAGGACAUUGACUGGAGUAAGACAUGUUCCAGAAUUGAAAAAGAACUUAAUUUCCUUUGGUGCUUUAGAUUCAGCUGGUUGCAGGUAUUCUUCAGAAUGUGAAGUUUUGAAAGUUGUUCGAGGUACUCUAGUGAUAAUGAAAGGAAUCAAGCAUGGAGGCAUGUAUAAAUUUCAAGGUGAGACAGUGACAAGUUUCACUGCAAAGAUGUCGGAUGCAUCUAUUCGAGAGUCUAUUGACUGCUCGAGGAAGACCUGGGUGUUUGUGCCAAUGCACAAGUUUGAUGCUGGUGUCAGGAUCACACGAUUGAGAGCUUUGAUCGAGACGAAGACUGGUAAGUCAAUCAAGCAUGUGUGGACUGACAAUAGGAUGGAGUUAUGCUCGGAGCUGGCAAAUAAAUUCUGCAUGAAAGAGGGCAUAGUGAAACAUUGCACUAGUACUAGUAAAUCACAACAAUUUGCAAAAUUGAUGAGUAGAACAAUACUAGAGACGGACCGUAAAAUGAUCUCUGGUGCUGGUAUUGCUAGGAGAAUCCUAACUGGUGUGCUUAGUACAAUAAGCUGCUUGGUGAAUAAAUUCCCAUCAACUGCUAUUGAAUGGCGGACUCCUAAAGAAGUGUGAUUAUGUAACGUUGCUGGUUAUUCUAUUAUUAGAAUGUUUGGUUGUUGUGUUAUUUUCAAGUGAGUGAUGGUAAGCUCGAUUGGAGGGCAAGGUGCAUAUUCUAUGGCUAUGCACAAGGUGAGUAGGGCGAUCUGUUGUGGUGCCCAGAUAUAAAUUCACCUAUUAACAGCAGAGAAAUUACCCUUGAUGAGUCUCCGAUACUUCUAACUAGGAGUGUUUGUGGCAGUGUUAAUAUUGAUCUAUACGUUGUUCAGCUUGAAGUGGAGUUGCGACCAGAAACUCCUAAGGUUAAGGGUGAGCAUGGUCCGGGUUGGUCCGGGCCACCCCCUAACCCUAGGACCAACCCGUACAGUGUCGGUCCUCAAUUUUUAAGACCGAGGACCGACCUUAUUGAGCCUGGGACCAAGGACCGGACCAACCCAAUGGGUUCGGUCCGGUUCCAAGGUCAACUUGGGACCAAUCUAUAAUUUUUUUCAUCUUUUUUUUUUAUACUCCCUAAAAAAGCAAACCUACAAAAGUAUCUCAAUCAGUGUAUGAAAUCGACAAUGUAGCAUAUAAGACGAAAAAAAGUAUCUCAAUAAUUUUUUUUCGUCUUGUAUAUACAUAACUAGAUCUAAUGAAUUUUUUUCAUCAUGCAUAUACAUAACUAGAUCAAACACAAAGCUUCCCAGGUUCUUCUCCAACAGUAGAUAAGCCACUAGGACAGAAGGAAAAAACAGGCCUAACUCUACGGUCUAUCUAAAUGCCCGCAUUCCAAAAUUGCAAGAGCCAUAGUGAUUUGAAUAGAAUAUACAUUAUACAUAAAAGGUAUUAGUUUUACAGACAGAUUAUUCACCGGAGGGGGGAGAACCCAUUUUUCGCAUUGCAAGAUCUACAACGCUCCUCGGACAGUACAACAGUGUCUCGGAUGUCGCUGAUAAAGCCUCGGCACUAGUCACAGGACAUCUUUUCUGCGACAACUAUAGCCUUGUCCGGCUGCUCCUGUGCUAAAUCUUCCUUUUCAGCUUCUGCAGCUACUUCAAGAUUUGCUCCCGAAUGUUGUCGAUGGUAACGCAGAACCACGACAGAUAUGAACGCUGUCAAGAGACCAAUACCAAACUGUCAAGUUAAGUAGACACUGAUGCUCUGAACAAGUUUAGUCGUCAACAACUACUUCACAAAAGUCUACACCGCGUCUUAAAUUUCAGAGACUCGUCUUUUUAAGUUCACCUGUGAGCAAGCGAGUUUUUAUAGUCGUCAGGUUCCAGAAGGCCAUGAUUGCUUAUGCGGCCACGAUUUUCUUGUGGGAGCAAGCAACCCACGCUUCAAGAACCCACCAUUUGGAGCACUCAACUAUACAAACCGAGGUACGCUUAGUCUAUAAGCAUAAGCAGGUAAAAUUUAUAUAGGUUAUCAGCAAACGUAUGUACCUUUUUGGCUUAUCCGAGCUGAAUAGCGCAAGUAUAGUUUCGGGGCGAUGAAGCUGACAAAGAACCCUGCUCAAAGUCAAAAAGAAUAAGGCAUUAAUAUUCAUUGCAAAACAGGUUCUCACUUUGGUGCAGUACAAUUAUGAGCUUGCUCUCACUAACCAAUUGCGCAUAGCCUCCGAAGCGUGAUGAGAUGGCCAUAUUCAGCUCCAAGAAGGAGAAACGGAGCUACCUGAUCAGGAAAAAAACAAAAAAGUCUAUCAAGGAUGAACGACCUAAGCAAUCUGCAUAUAAGGAUUGAACAUGAAUACUAGCCCACCACCACGACGUACUUUUAGGGUCAUGGAUGGCUCUCCCGAGAAAAGCUCUCGCCUCUUUGAAAUUGCGAGAUUAGCAGCAGGAAGUAUCAAUCUAGCCACUCUCAAGAUGUCAUCUUCUUUUAACUGGAUGUCACGCCUCUUCUCAAUAUUAUUCCUGCAUCAGCGCUGCACCUUAGCUCACAAAUUUAUCCAAAUGGAGAAACAGAGCAAACGCUAGAGUGAGACUAUACCUUUGACAGAUGGAAUUGGAGAAGAAAGAUAACCCCAAAAAGAGAAGCCCCAGUUGGCAAAUUGCAGAGCAAAUGCUUAUAACAUAAGCCAUCACGAAGAUAAUCAGAUAUCACCCUUCACCAGGUGCUCUUGCAAUCAAAAACCCAUGUAGACAUAAGCCAAACAAACAAAAAAUGACUUCAUCACACCUGAAGCUGAUUCCUUGAGCAAAGCAAGAAGACAAGAAGCAAAGAGACCCUACACCAAACCAGAGCGUCGAUUUCGCGACAUCUCUCCACAAUAUCAAAUCAGUAAUCCCCUGUCCGAUUCGGUCCAGAUUCUUAUUGUCCCUCAGUAAAAUCAGUUCCUUCACAAAAAGCAAAUCGAACAUCCAACUCUGCAAGAUUAGGAACAUCCAUCAACAAUGCGGCAUUGUGCAACUAAACUAUAAAUACCAUUAAUAUUAGUGCUAUUGAUAGAACAUCUCACCAUAUAUAUUCAUUCAAUGUGCAAGCUCUAUUUAUUGAUGGUAAUCUCCUUAGUAAGACAAUCCAUAUCUGAAAAAAAGAAUUCAUUCAUUAGAUCUACAAACGAAUUAACAAGGAAAAAGAAAUAUGCAUAAUUUAAGCUUACCCAAUUCAAACUUUUCAGCAUUUUCAAUGCACUCUUCAACAUUAAUAGGCACACGAGCAGCUCUCAACCAGUCUUGAGUACAAAUUAAAGCUUCCACCACUCUAGGAGUCAAAGAACUUCGAAAACCAUCAAGCACACGGCCCGAAGUACUAAAAGCCGACUCUGAAGCAACGGUAGUUACAGGAAUGGACAAAACAUCUCGAGCUAUCAAAGAUAAGAUUUUAUAUUUUGAACCAGUACUCUUCCACCACAUCAAAAUGUCAAGAUCAAGAAUAUCUUCAGAUUCUUCUUCAAGAUACCGUUCAAGCUUCGAUUUGCUGUCAUCACGCCCCCUUUUCUUUUGGUGGAAAAAGUUUUUUCGCCAAGCUUUGAUGUUAACCUCAUCACUCUCAUCAUUUCCAUCGAUAUUGGAAGCACUGCUACUAUCAACAGGUAUAGAUUGACCACCCAAAUAUUGAUGACCAUGACUAGAAAAAGAUUGCUCAUAAAAUGCAUAUAAACGCUCCAGCACGUACUUCACCUUAUCAUGCAUUUCUUCAAUUUUUGCUUCAUCAUCAUUGCUCAAAACAAAACUUCACAUAAUGCAACCUUAUUGUAGGAUCUAAUGCCACUGCAAUUAAAACCAUCAUGUUUACUUUAUCCAAACUCCCAUAGUAUUUAUCAAACUUCCCCUUCAUCUUCACACCCAUAGCUCUAAGCUUGGGAUCCAAAGCAUUACUUGCAUCUUUCAAAUAUUUAUAUAAAAAAGCUAUCCCCUCAAAAUGAUCAUUCGAAGUGGUAUAUAAACUCCCUGACAUUUGAUUGGUAGCAUCAUAAAACUGCUUCAGAAAUUUGGAAAGAAUAGUGGCAUUUUCCCAAUCUUCAUUUUUAGGAGGAUCAUUGCUAAGCUCAGAUUGGAAAGACAAAUCAUCUUCUGCCAUCCUUUCAAAAGCUUUUCUGAAUUUUAUGGUCGUGUGUAAUAUGAGAUAAGUGGAAUUCCAUCUAGUGGCAACAUCUAAACAAACCGAACCCUUAUGAGUGAUUCUUUCAACCUCAAUGCAAGAUUGGAAAGCUUUAGCUCUCAUGGGAGAACUCCUCACAUAUCUAACAAUGUUUUGGAUGCGUGCAAUAGAAUCACGUACCUCAGACAAGCCAUCUUUUACAAUCAAGUUCAAUAUAUGAGCAGUGCACCUCAUGUGUAAAGCCUCACCAGCUAAGACCAAUGACCCAUCUCUUGAAAAUUUAUCUUUCAAAUAAUCAAUGGCAACAUCAUUCACACUAGCAUUAUUCACUGUGAUUGUAGACACAUUUUUUCCUAUUCUCCAUUCAUAGAUGCAUUUUUCAAGUAUUUUCCCAAUCUCCCUGCCUUUGUGACUGUGUAUCACCACAAAAUUGAUGAUCCUUUUGUGUAAUUUCCAGUUUUCAUCAAUGAAAUGUGCAAUAAGACAUAAAUAGUUCAGAUUUUGAACAGAAGUCCAUGUAUCAGUCGUGAGUGCAACCCUUGAUCUAAGCUUACCAAAGAAAGCCUUCAAAGAAAUUUUUUCAUUUAUAUACAACUUGAUGCAAUCUCUAGCUACCGUAAAUCAUGACAAAUGUGUGAAGAGAGGUUGUAUCUCAGUAAUAAAAUCACAAAAUCCAGCACGCUCAACCAAAGAAAAUGGUUGUUCAUCAACGAUGAUCAUCCGAGCAAGCAUGUACCUAGACCGGUCUUGAUCAAAUUUCCAUGUUGUUAAGAUAUUACCACUGUCAUUACCAGUACCAGUAUCUCCCCUUGCCUUGCCAAGCACAUUUGCAUCACGUGGUGCAAACAAUUUUUGCCUCCUAUCUAUAUUGGGAGGAUACUUAUUGCACUUUUUCAAAUGCUUCAACAUUGUUGAAGUACCAUUGUUAACAGUAUAUGAGUACUCCUUUCCACAAUGAAUGCACUUUACCAUACAUGUUUUUUUUGUCUUCUCAUCUAUGAUUAUUGAAAAAUUAUCCCACGCAAUAGAUUUAUCCGUUUUUCGCUUCUUACAAAGAGGAGGAUGAUUAGUGGAUACCUUGGUUGACUCUUUUAAGUUUUCUUCACAUCCAUGGCUAGACGAUUCCAUCAUAGGACUGAUCUCGUAGCAUCCCUCCACUUCAGUUGAAAUUUUAUCUAAAUCCAUCAAGUUCACCUGAAUAUUUAAGUACCAGCACGUAAGCUUCAGCGCUGCAAUCACUGAUGAAACAAAAAAUAUCAGCUAUGGUUUCAUUUUUGAGGUGGCAACAUCAAAUAGCUAUUCAGAAACUACAUGCAGCAAAUAAUAGAAAAAUGCAACAUCAAAUAGCUAUUUAUAUGUUGGGUGGUUGAGAACCAUGACCGCUACUAGUCUUGACAAGGAAAAGGUUGAGGGGGGAAAAGAAAUUUUACCAGGAAAGAAAAUGCAGAAGUUAAGUGAUAAAGAAAAAGUGAUCUUUAGAAUGAUUUCCCUAAAGAGAAGGAAAAUUGACAAACUUGGGAUCUACGGAAAGUUACCAGGUUGUACCACUUUUCAAGGGUGUGAUUCAUUCAAAUUAGUAGUAGAAUAGCAUAUCAGAACCUUGUGAUAGGCACUUCACUAGAUCCGAAUAUUUGCCAACAUGAGGCAUCGAGCAGAAUUUAUGAAGGCCUAAACAUAGUAAGAGGAGCUGAAGUAAUCAACAAAAUCAUAAAUUGAGGUCAAAAGAGCAAAAGGACACAAAGCCGAAAAAGAAAAAGUGGGCACUUUGUUCUGAAAUUUAAUUAUUAUCCAGAUUAAACUAUAGCUACGUAGCAUCCAUAGUUACUCGAUAAUGAUGAGUUCAUAAAGUUUAGAGAGUUUGCCGGUGCAUAUCUAUAAUAAAGUGAUUUUUACCUUGCCACGCGACUCCCAAGUCAAGUGAAUUUGGCUUGAUUCUUGUGCCAAAUUAAGUCGAUUCUCUGGGAAAGUCGUUAGCACUACAAUGAUGGAGCCUGCAACCAAUAGAAAAAGCCAAUUUCUUAGAAAAUCCACAGGACAAUUUGAACCCAUACUUGUAGGAAAUUCUUAUUUCAUCCCAAAAUGCUACAAUUUUUUUUUAGCAUUACCAAUUGUAUGCUCAUUGUCAAAUUGAGUGGCCUUGCUUCAGUUGCUAAGCCCAUGAACCUGCUCUUUUUAAAUCAGGAAAUACACAAAAGAGAGCCAAGAAGUUGAUCCUCUUGUGAUAUACGCACAACUUCAAAUUAUUUUUCCUGACUUCGAUUGAUCAUGUCUCCCAUGGUAUACAAUCGUGAACUUAGCUCAAAGACCGGUCUCCAAAAUGCUUGCACGCUACUAUGAUUGGGUCAGCAAAUAGAGAGUAGAGGGCAUGACGACUGACGAGGGGCAGACAGUCCAGGCAAGUCCCCCUGUUGUAAGUGAGAAACUUAAAAAACAAACAGAAAAAUGUGUUCCCGAGUGAGUAAUUAAAACAGAUAAAAAUGCCAAGGAGUGUACUUCCAUUAAGAGCCAACCUACUGAUCAGCAAAGUAAUUCAAUUGAUGCACUGGAAAAGACAACGGAAAUUACAUCAUAUGGGCCUGACUACGAUGAAGUUGAUUGUUCUUCUCAAGACGUCUAGCAUUGGGAAUGUUUGACAAUGGCGUUCAUGUUCACCCAUCAUCAAAUGCUUUUCAGAAAAUCCUUUGCAGAGCAAAGGAGAAGAUACUUCAGGUAGCUUUCAUACACUCGCAGCCAUGUUCAUACACGUACACAAAGCAAACAUGGAAAAAAAAUCAACACAAAUCAAGAGCAUACAUGAGGUUGAAGAUCUCAAAUGAAGCACAAAGUAGAACUCACUAGCCAAGUUGUGUUCGGAAAGCAAGGGUGAGCCGAGCGUUAGGGUUUCUAAUUAGGGAUUCUUCUUUUUCCUUCUGAUUUACUCGGCGAUAAGCGAGGCGACCGGCGCGAGUGGCGAGCGGCAAGUGCGAGCAUUGAGUGGGGCGAGCCUUAACUGGCGAGCAGCAAGAGUUGAGCGAGGCUAGCGGCGAGCGGCGAGCGUUAAGCAAGGCUAGCGGUGAGUGGCGAGUGGCGACUAAUACCCAGCCAAACCGGUCACGUACACAAAGCAAACAUGGAAAAAACAAAUCAACACAAAUCAAGAGCAUACAUGAGGUUGAAGAUCUCAAAUGAAGCACAAAGUAGAACUCACUAGCCAAGUUGUGUUCGGAAAGCAAGGGCGAGUUGAGCGUUAGGGUUUCUAAUUAGGGCUUCUUCUUUUUCCUUCUGAUUUACUCGGCGAUAAACGAGGCGACCGACGCGAGUGGCAAGUGGCAAGUGCGAGCAUCGAGUGGGGCGAGCGUCAACUGGCGAGCGGCAAGAGUUGAGCGAGGCUAGCGGCGAGCGGCAAGCGUUAAGCGAGGCUAGCGGUGAGUGGCGAGUGGCGAGGGUUCAGCAAGGCCAGCAACGACAGCAAAGGGCUUGUAGCAAGCGGCAAGCGGCGCGAGCGGCACGGGCAACCAGAGGUGAGCGGCGCGGGCAACCAGAGGCGAGCAAGGAUGCUGUUACUUUUGAUUUUGGCAAAAUUGAAGAACAAAGAAGACAAAAUGGAAGAGAACAUACUUUGGGGAAGGAAGCCGCGAGGAGAUUUACGGCGUAGACUUUCCACCGUUUUGGACGUUGCGAGUCCGUCACUGUGAAGACUCCAUGGUCUUCACGGUGAAGAACACUCUGGAUUGUGGACUCUGACUGUGGAGGAGGACGCCGUGAAGACCUUGACGGCGUAAACUUCACGCCUUUUGGAUGCCGUUUGUCCAAGACAGUGAGCUGAGGAGUCAACUUUAACCUAAUUUUACUUAGGUUUGACCGUUUUAAUAUAUAAAAGAAUUAUUCCUUACCAAAAAAAUAUAUAAAAAAAUAUAAAUAAUAUAAUAUAAAUAAUAUAAUAUAAAUAAUAUACAGGGUUGGUCCGGGUUGAACCAACCCAAAACUCUUAGGACCGAGGACCAACCCGCACAGUGUUGGACCAAAGACCAACCCAGUCCCCUUGAAAACCGGACCAGGACCGGCAGGGUUGGGCCGGUCCAGGGUCGGUCCAGGGUCGACCCUGAACCGCUGCUCACCCCUACCUAAGGUAGCAAGUACGAGUACUAGCAAAGUAAUUAGCAUGGAUGGUGCUUGUAGCGAGGUGGAGCCUAUAGAACCAAUGGUUACUGCAACUGUUGAAAUUAACAAGGUACGUAUUCGAUCUUUUGAUAGAUAUGGAUACAAUAAUGAUUUUACUUUGUCUGCGGUUAAGGAGGUUGCGUCGGAAAAUCCUUGUGAAAUAGUUAAAAGUGCAUGUGGAGUUGGUAUUUUGAUGAGGUUCUUGAUUAUGGCGAAGUUCAAGCGAGGCUUGGACUUGGAUAAUAUCUGUGGCGGUUGAGCCCAUUGGGGGUUAUGGAAGAGUAGCAGCAGAGUUUGAACUUUUGCGAAACGAUUGCAACUUAACUCAAACGUCGAGCCAAGAUGGAGAUUGUUAAAAUAUGUCUCGAGUUUGAGUCCAAUGUGAAUUCCAAAUAUUCCGAAUUGGAUAUGUUACGGACGUUCGAAAUUGAGCAAAGAAGAUCCAACGAUCAACUAUCCAAAGUUUGAAUCCACAUUGGAGAAUUUGGCCGUUGAAAUAGGAAAGUUCAAUUUUGACUUGGACUUUGAUUUUGUUUAAAAUAUACAGAGAUAUGUUUUGAAUAAAAUCGGGCAAUAUAGGAAACGGAAUCUUAUGAGAAGUUGGCAAAAGAAUAAAGGUCUCGCUUAUAUAUAUAGACUCGUGGCCGUGGAUGGAAGAGAGUUGAUCAUGAAUGAGUGUUCUUAAAGAGCCAUCUAGUCGUCAAGUGCUUGGGAGGGAUUUUCUUUAUCGUUCUUGUCUGUGAAUUACAUCCAAGAAAGAUUAGUAUUUGUAGCUGAUUUAAAUCUCGUGGUAAGAUUUACGUGUCAUUCCUUCGUGAGAUCAAGAGAUUAUUUCUUGAGGAAUUUCGAGGCUAAACACUGCAUGCGUUAUUUGGUGUAAUUGUGACUUGGGAAACACCAUAAAAGUGUUUGAGUAACUUGAGUAUGUAAUCUCUUCGUAUCGCUUGAUCUAUAGUGAAAUUUCCUACUGCUCUUCCCGUGGACGUAGAUCUUUACAACUGAACUAUGUAAAUUUGGUGUCCAAUAUAUUUUAUUCUUUUGUCUAUAUUAUUGUUCGAUUGCUCGUUUUUUCGCAACAUGGUAAAUGUACGCCAUCAACGGCAGCACUGAAAAUGCUAGUAUGAAAACCUAGAGCAGCAGCACUGAAAGUGCUAGUAUGAAAACCUAGAGGGGAGUGAAUAGGUGUAAAAACAGAUUAUGCAAAAUGCAGUGAAAACAUUUACUUUUAACCUGAGUCUAAAUAAUAGCAGACUUUUGAAACUGAGUCUGAAGAGCAGCAGACUUUGAGCGAGAUCAGACUUUAGUAGUUAAAUAGAACUACGAACAAAAUAAAGAGAUUCAGGGAAGAGAAUAAGAACACAAGAUUUAUAGUGGUUCGGCUUAAUUCAAGCCUAAGUCCACUCUCCCACGCUAACAGCUUUCUUGGCUGGAUUCCAUUAUGCAAUCAAUAAGAGAUUACAACUUUGAAUGCAAACACUUAGUAGUACAUCACACUAUCUAACUAAGUCACUCUUUUGGUAUUUCUCUCACGAUCACAAAUGUUUAAGCUCACAAGAGAUAAGUGUAUGAAUAAAGAUCACACAGACUUUGGAAUUAUAAAUUAUAUACUCCGUCUCUUACUUGAUCAUUGGUCCUUCAUUUCCUUAAAUACUCCUCCACUUCCAAACUAGCCGUUGGACAAUAUCUCGAGGAUCGUCUUCCAAUCUACCCGUUGGACAGAUCUGUAUCUAAAAGAUUUAGUAGCUGUUGAGUGACAAAAGUAGAAUCCCAAAUUGAUUCCGAUCGCCCAUACAAACAGAAUCUUGGUUUCCAUAAGUAGAGCUUCUUCGUAUAAAAAGUUUUUGUCUUGAAGAUCCAAUUGUCAAUCAAUUAGAUUGAGUCAAUCAAAUCAAUCUUGAUGUGGAAUCCAAACCAUAUCACUGGCUAUUAUAUGAUUGGGGCUUGUAUUACGUUCGGUCGAAUUUGGAUGUAAAGUCUGAGUGCAAUAGACUUUACAAUCUGAGUCUAAACAUAUUCUGCUUCUGAACAGUUUUAGCUUUAAGGUCUAAACACAGUCUGAAUAAGUUUAGCUUCAGCGUAGAGUCUAUUUUCUGAUUCAGCUUCAACAUAGAGUCUAUCUUCUGGCCGUCUUCAGACUUUGACAAUAUCAUUUAUAUGUUCUAUCAUUUGCAUGGUUUAUUACUUAACCAUUAAACACAUUAAUUGCCUUUGAUUUAUUUUAUCAUCUUCAAAACAUCAUAAGGGAUUUUUCUAACAAUCUCCCCAUUUUGAUGAUGACAAAACAAUCUCUGAAUAUGCAGAUUUGUAAACAUACUUUUAAAAAUAUUAAUUUAAAUCAAAUGAUAUUAGAAGAUAUCAAAUAGAUUGAGCAUAACAAUAUAUAGAAAAUAAUCGCAGCUCAAUAUUAUGCGAUAAAUAAUAUCAACCAAUCAACACAUAUGCAUAUUCAUAUAUUCUCCUCCUUUUUGUCAUAAUCAAAAAGCGAUAAUAAUGAAAAUAGUAUCAUGUAGAGGAUAUAAAAGUAUAACAAAUAUCUUGCAUGAAACACAAUUUCCAAAAAAUCAGCUUUUAUCGAAUAUUAAAGAUAUGCAAUAUAGCUCACUUCGAUUAUAUCAGCAAAUAUCCAAUAAAAAACACAGAUGCAUUAUAAAAUUCACUUAUCAUUUUUGUCAUAACAAAAUGAUAAUAUCAAUAAGAGAUUUAUUAAUGACAAAAGGUAAUAAGAAAUGCACUGACCGGAUUUUGUAGAACUUAAAUUCUGAUGCAUUUACCUUCUCCUUCUUUCCAUAACAAGAUCACGAUCAAUCUAAAAAGAUUUUUCCAUAAUUGAUCAAAGCUCCCCCUCAAUUUGUAGCAUUUUUGAGAUGAUCACGAUUCUUUUCUUUCUCUUAAAUUCACGUUCUCACCCUGUGAUUAUGACAAUAUUUGCGAAUAUAAAAAAUUGUUUGCACAAGUUGAACAGAAUAUUUUUCAAUAUUUCCUUUGUAGCGACAACAUUCGCAACGACCACUUGCAUUUUGAAAUUCGAGGAAAAAAAUUAUUUUCUUCAAUCAAGCUCUUCUCAAAUUUAACCUGCAUCAACUUAACAAACUUUUUGCACAAAUAAGCUGUAAUAAUAUCCACAUAAUAUAUAAUGCCAUUUCUUCAAAUAAAUACGUUGAAUAACAUAUAUAAAAUUAUCAAUUAUUAAAAUUCUGAACUACUCAACCUUCCAUAUGACACAUAAGGGAUUUCCUUAACAAUUUGCAAAAACUUUGCACAAGGAAUGGAAUUUUUGAACCUCUAGAAGAUAGUAUAGAAUCUUCAUAAUUUUCAGAUCGAGCUUUCCAAAAUUCAUAUGGAAGAUUCUAUUGUCACCUGCAAAAUCUUGUAUAAUAGAUAAUUAUCUUUGCAAAAACGUCACGUAAUAUCUUCAUUUGAUUUGUGGAUCAAACUUGCUAGAUAUAAUAUAUCUUCUAAGAAUAUAGCAAUAAUAUCAAUGGACGCGCAAACCCCUGGAGUGCCUUAACUUUGGCCAAAUGGACACUUAAGUGCCAUAACUUACGAAAGGUACACUUAAGUGCCAAAAUCAAAGUAAAAUGGAUCACUUGAGUGCAAAUCCGGCGAAAAUCCGGCCAAAAUGUCGACGUGGCACUUUUCCGGCGAAUCGAGCUCAAAACGACACCGUUUUGCACGCUGACGUGGCCAAAAUGGCGUUGUUUUGGCUGACGUGGCAAAAAAAUAAAAUAAAAUAAUUAAUUAAAUUAAAUUUAUUUAAAAUAUUUAAAAAUAAUAACUUUAGAUAAAUUUAGUUAAAAUAUUUUAAAUUAAUAAUUUUGAAAUUAAAUUUAGUUGAAAUAUUAAAAAGUUAAUAAUUUAUAUAUUAAAAAAAAAAGGAAAGGGGGGGAGGCGGCUGAGGGAUUAGCCCUCAACCGCCGCCGCCGCCGCCCCGCCGUCGCCGGGAAGGGCCGGCGACGGCAGGGGGAGGGUCAGCCGAGGUCGCCGGGCCCUGGCCAGGGGCUGGCGACCCCGGCCGACUGGCGGCGAGGGCUCGCGAGCCCUCGCCCCGAUCUGGGUUAAGGGUCGCAGCCCUCACCCAGAUCCAGCGAGGGUCGGCGGCCCUCGCCACAGAUCCGGCAAGGGCUCGCAAGCCCUCGUCGCCAGUCGGCCGGGGUCGCCAGCCCCUAGCCAGGGCUCGACGACCCCGGCCGACCGGUCACGAGUUUUCUCCGGGCCAAGUGGGUUCCCUGGCGGGGGCCGCUCCAUUUCGUAGACUGAGGAAAAUUUUGGUUUUUCUUUUUCUCCUGGUUUCCUUGGAAUUUCCAGCUUUUUUCAAUUGUAUGAUACCCUCAUUUACAAUAAUCACUAUACAUUUUACCUUUCCCUUUUGAGGGGGUUAAUUUUUGCUCCGAAAGAAGGACUUGAUGAGUGCUGAGUAACUCGGGCCAAAAUAGCGUCAUACCAAUCAUCUGAUCAUGGCAACAAAUUGCCACUCGCAAUAUGCCCAUCUGAACNNNNNNNNNNNNNNNNNNNNNNNNNNNNNNNNNNNNNNNNNNNNNNNNNNNNNNNNNNNNNNNNNNNNNNNNNNNNNNNNNNNNNNNNNNNNNNNNNNNNNNNNNNNNNNNNNNNNNNNNNNNNNNNNNNNNNNNNNNNNNNNNNNNNNNNNNNNNNNNNNNNNNNNNNNNNNNNNNNNNNNNNNNNNNNNNNNNNNNNNNNNNNNNNNNNNNNNNNNNNNNNNNNNNNNNNNNNNNNNNNNNNNNNNNNNNNNNNNNNNNNNNNNNNNNNNNNNNNNNNNNNNNNNNNNNNNNNNNNNNNNNNNNNNNNNNNNNNNNNNNNNNNNNNNNNNNNNNNNNNNNNNNNNNNNNNNNNNNNNNNNNNNNNNNNNNNNNNNNNNNNNNNNNNNNNNNNNNNNNNNNNNNNNNNNNNNNNNNNNNNNNNNNNNNNNNNNNNNNNNNNNNNNNNNNNNNNNNNNNNNNNNNNNNNNNNNNNNNNNNNNNNNNNNNNNNNNNNNNNNNNNNNNNNNNNNNNNNNNNNNNNNNNNNNNNNNNNNNNNNNNNNNNNNNNNNNNNNNNNNNNNNNNNNNNNNNNNNNNNNNNNNNNNNNNNNNNNNNNNNNNNNNNNNNNNNNNNNNNNNNNNNNNNNNNNNNNNNNNNNNNNNNNNNNNNNNNNNNNNNNNNNNNNNNNNNNNNNNNNNNNNNNNNNNNNNNNNNNNNNNNNNNNNNNNNNNNNNNNNNNNNNNNNNNNNNNNNNNNNNNNNNNNNNNNNNNNNNNNNNNNNNNNNNNNNNNNNNNNNNNNNNNNNNNNNNNNNNNNNNNNNNNNNNNNNNNNNNNNNNNNNNNNNNNNNNNNNNNNNNNNNNNNNNNNNNNNNNNNNNNNNNNNNNNNNNNNNNNNNNNNNNNNNNNNNNNNNNNNNNNNNNNNNNNNNNNNNNNNNNNNNNNNNNNNNNNNNNNNNNNNNNNNNNNNNNNNNNNNNNNNNNNNNNNNNNNNNNNNNNNNNNNNNNNNNNNNNNNNNNNNNNNNNNNNNNNNNNNNNNNNNNNNNNNNNNNNNNNNNNNNNNNNNNNNNNNNNNNNNNNNNNNNNNNNNNNNNNNNNNNNNNNNNNNNNNNNNNNNNNNNNNNNNNNNNNNNNNNNNNNNNNNNNNNNNNNNNNNNNNNNNNNNNNNNNNNNNNNNNNNNNNNNNNNNNNNNNNNNNNNNNNNNNNNNNNNNNNNNNNNNNNNNNNNNNNNNNNNNNNNNNNNNNNNNNNNNNNNNNNNNNNNNNNNNNNNNNNNNNNNNNNNNNNNNNNNNNNNNNNNNNNNNNNNNNNNNNNNNNNNNNNNNNNNNNNNNNNNNNNNNNNNNNNNNNNNNNNNNNNNNNNNNNNNNNNNNNNNNNNNNNNNNNNNNNNNNNNNNNNNNNNNNNNNNNNNNNNNNNNNNNNNNNNNNNNNNNNNNNNNNNNNNNNNNNNNNNNNNNNNNNNNNNNNNNNNNNNNNNNNNNNNNNNNNNNNNNNNNNNNNNNNNNNNNNNNNNNNNNNNNNNNNNNNNNNNNNNNNNNNNNNNNNNNNNNNNNNNNNNNNNNNNNNNNNNNNNNNNNNNNNNNNNNNNNNNNNNNNNNNNNNNNNNNNNNNNNNNNNNNNNNNNNNNNNNNNNNNNNNNNNNNNNNNNNNNNNNNNNNNNNNNNNNNNNNNNNNNNNNNNNNNNNNNNNNNNNNNNNNNNNNNNNNNNNNNNNNNNNNNNNNNNNNNNNNNNNNNNNNNNNNNNAUAUGCACAACCGUCGAGGUCAAUUAGAAAGGGGUAUCAUAUUCUUAAACCCUUAAAGACAAUCCGACUUUAAUUGAGGAUGCAAGUUCUUGAAGAUGGAUUCUCAUUUACAGAGCCCCCAGCUUCGAGAAUCACCGUUCAGAAUCGACGAGAGCCAGGGCUCAGGGUUACACCCUUAGGGGCCUCCCCCCCUUUCCUUUUUUUUUAAGAUUUUUAAUUAUUAUUUUUUAAUAUUUCAACUCAAUUUAAUUUUAAAAUUAUUAUUUUUAAAUAUUUUAACUAAAUUUAAUUUUAAAAUUAAUUUUUUAAUUUUUUUUACCAUGUCAGUCCAAAACGACGUCGUUUUGGGCGCGCUUUGCCGGAAGAACGUCACGUUGGAGUUUUGGCCGGAUUUUGGCCGGAGUGGCACUCAAGUGAUCCGUUUUUCUUCGAAUGUGGCACUUAAGUGUACCUUUCGUAAGUUAUGGCAUUUAAGUGUCCCUUUGGCCAAAGUUAUGGCACUUGAAGCGUUCUUUUGCCAAUAUCAAUGAAUAUGCAGUAAUAUCUUUCGAGAUCAAAGAGAUUUUCUUGAGUAUAAAUUUCAGAUAUGCAUUUUACAAAAGGAAAAUAGAUAUUUUUGUCACGUGCCAAAUCAAGUAAAAAAUAUUGCAAUGCCUUAUAUUUAUGAGAAGAAAUACUUGCAAUAUAAAUGAUAAGCAAUCAUUCAAAAUCUGGAUAAAUGCAUGUAGAAAUUUGUAAGGCGGGAUAAAAAAAAAAUUCUCUUACCCAGGUAUAUGUUUCAAAUAUACCAUUGAUUUAAAAAAAUCAUUACCAAUCUUCGCAUGAGAUUCUUUUCUUAUUGCACCAAAAUCUGCAUAGAUUUGCAAUCAUUCUUGCCUUAUUAAAUUUCCUGCAAUCAACUCAUUUCCUUUUUGGUAUCCAUCAAUUUGGAUCCUUCCAUGACGUUAGAGCAAAAUAUAAAAUCUCAUAGUUAAUCAAAUAUUCUUUCUAAACUCAUCAUAACAUGUUAUUUAAGGAAAGAAUAUUAUGCACAAUAAUAUCUCGAAAAAUAAAUUCUCACUUAGUCAUAAUACGAUAAAAUCAGAGAGAAUAAAUCUUUGAAUAUCUAAGAAUAUUUUGCAUCAUCACGUAAAACAGAUUUUCACUUUGCAAAAUAUGACUAAAUCUGAGAGUAUAAAAUUAGACAAAAUAAUUUGAAUUAUCUCAAAUAAUCACACGUAUUAAAUCAAAUCUCAACUUACGAAUCACAAACAAAUCAUACGAUUCUUUCUUCAAUGAAACAAAAUAUGAUCAUUAUAAAAUCUCAAUCAACCAAGGAUAUAUCGAAUAUCAAGUAUAAUGAGAAAUUUUAAAUUGUGUACUCAAACCAAAUUGAGAAUAAAUAAUAUAUAUACAUACAUUCUUUACCAAACUAUCAUUCUUCUCUUCCUUUAUUUCCUGCAAAAGUAACUUAUCUUUUCUUUGGUACCCAUUUUUUCUUGGGUCCAUGAGAGUUAGUAGAAUAUGUUGUUUUUAUCCAAUUUUUCUUAAUAGGUCUCCAGACUUUAGGACAUUCUUUCUCAAAGUGUUUCAAAUCUCCACAAUUUGAACACUUGAGGGCAUUUCCACCAACAGGUUUUACAAACACUUUUUGAAAAGGAUUUUUAUAAAAUGCCUUUGGAGGUCUUUGUUUAAGUCUCUCCUUGACUUUAGGAAAGUCAAUUAGAGAAUCACUUUCCAUUUUUAAACCAAGUCCCAACUUAUUAUAGUAAGGUACUUGCAUGGAAAGGAUAUACUCUAAUGUUUUUGAACCAUUUGAAAAUCUUGUCGAAAUAUUUAAAAAUUCCCUUUUUAAAGAAUCAUUUUCUUUGACAAGUAAAUCUUGACUUUCUUUUGUUUGUAGAAAAUCUUUUUGCAAAAUUUCAAACUUUUCUUUUAGAGAAAGAUCUUGUUGCCUAAGCCGAGAAUUCUCCUUUUUAAGUCCGGAGAUCCUUUUAAAAGAAUAUUUGAGAUUUAAGUAGAGCUCAUUUAUAAACUUAAGAACUUUGAUGUGAAUUUUUGAAUGGCUUACCUCGAUUUCCUCAUCAGAUUCUAAGUAUGUGUCUGAGUCAGACUUUGAUUCUGAAUGUGCCAUCAAGCAUAUAUUUUCUUGCUCAUCAUCUUCUUUUGUUCUUUUCUAGCCAUUCUGCUUGUAUUGUCUUCUUUCACUUAAUUUCUUUUCUUUUCUACUCAACUUUUUGAAUUUCUUGAUCAUAAAAGCAAGUUCUUCGUUGUCCAUGUCAUUUUCUGAGUCUGCAUCAUCAGAAUCAGCGUUAGAUAUUAAAGUGAUGAACUUCUUACCUUCGGGAUCUUUGUCGUUGAGUUGUUCCACUUCAUAGGAUUGAAGAGUGCCAAUCAAUUCAUCAAUGGAGAGUGACAUAAUUCUCUGAGUCUCCCUUAUUGAGGUCUUUACAUGGUUCCAAUAUUUUGAGAGACCUCGCAAAAGUUUGUUGACCAUCAUUGGGGAAGAAAUUGGAUGAUCUUGAUAUGCCAAACCGUUUACAAUUUUUGUAAAACGAUCGAACAUAUCUCCAAUCGACUCUCCUUGCUUCAUCUUGAAGUAUUCAUAUUUGCCGAGCAAGAAAUUUACUUUUGUCUCUUUUACACGAUCAGUCUCUUCAUAUAUAACAUGAAGUCUAUUCCAAACUUCUUUUACUGUUUCACAUGAAGAAAUUCUGUUAUAUUCAGUAGGAGAUAAUGCACAAUAUAAAAAAUAAAUAGCUUUUGCAUCAAGCGCUUCUCUUUUGGACAACUCUGUCCGAGACAUAGGAGCAGGGGGUUUGGUUUCUUUGUCUUUGCCAUUCUUAUUUGAUGUAGACGCAAUAGUGGGAUUGAUUCAUCUUUCCACAACAUCCCAUUGCAAGGGAUCUCUAGAUCUUAGGAACGCUUUCAUUUUGUUCUUCUACACGUAAUAUUCCUUUCCAUCAAAAUAUGGUGGCCUGGUGUUGCUUUGUCCCUCCAUAAGUCCUGAUGCCAAGAUACUAACCAUAGAAGAUCUUUAGCUCAAAAGUAAAAAAAAACAGUUUUAUAAACCAAGCACUUGGCUCUGAUACCAAUUGAAAGUGCUAGUAAGAACACCUAGAGGGGGUGAAUAGGUGUAAAAAUAGAUUCCACAAAAUACAGUGAAAAUAUUUACUUUUAACCUGAGUCUGAAUAACAACAGACUUUUGAAACUGAGUCUGAAGAGCAGUAGGCUUUGAGCAAGAUCAGACUUUAGCAGUUAAAUAGAAUUACGAACAAAAUAAAGAGAUUCAGGGAAGAGAAUAAGAACACAAGAUUUAUAGUGGUUCGGCUUAAUCCAAGCCUACGUCCACUCUCCCACGCUAACAGCUUUCUUUGCUGGAUUCCACUAUGCAAUUAAUAAGAGAUUACAACUUUGAGUGCAAACACUUAGUAGUAGAUCACAAUGUCUCACUAAGCCACUCUUUUGGUAUUUCUCUCACAAUCACAAACGUUUAAGCUCACAAGAGACAAGUGUAUGAAUAAAGAUCGCUUAGACUUUGAAAUUAUAAAUUUUACGCUCCGUCUCUUACUUGCUCAUCGGUCAUUCAUCUCCUUAAAUACUUCUCCACUUCCAAACUAGCCGUUGGAUUGUAUCUCGAGGAUCGUCUUCCAAUCUACCCGUUGGACAGAUCUGUAUCUAGAAGAUUUAGUAACCGUUGAGUGACAAAAGUAAAAUCCCAAAUUGAUUCCGAUCGCUCAUACAAACAAAAUCUUGGUUUCCAUAAGUAGAGCUUCUUCAUAUAGAAAGUUCUUGUCUUGAAGAUCCAAUUGUCAAUCAAUUAGAUUGAGUCAAUCAAAUCAAUCUUGAUGUGGAAUCCAAACCAGAUCACUAGCCGUUAUAUGAUUAGGGCUUGUAUUACAUUCUGUUGAAUCUGGAUGUAAAAUCUGAAUGUAAUAGACUUUACAGUCUAAGUCUGAACAUAUUCUGCUUCUGAAUAUUUUUAGCUUUAAGGUCUUAACACAAUCUGAAUAAGUUCAGCUUCAGCAUAGAAUCUAUUUUCUGGUUCAGCUUCAGUAUAGAGUCUAUCUUCUAGCCGUCUUCAGACUUUGACAAUAUCUUUAUAUGUUCUAUCAUUUACAUGGUCUAUUACUUAACCAUUAUUAAACACAUUAGUUGCCUUUUAAUUUAUAUUGUCAUCUUCAAAAUAUCAUAAGAGAUACCAACCCCACCAUCAACAGCCAGGGCAACCACUACAUGGCGCUCGUCGACCCCGACGCCAAGGAGGUGAGCGAGCGAUAAAAAAUGAUUCCUUUCUUGUGACUAAGAUACUUUUGUGUGUCUCGUUAGGAGCAGUUUCAGUCAAUUUUUUUAAGUCCGAUUAAUCAUAAAGAAACGAUUUUUACAAUACCCUUUUGCAUUACACAAGACGAGGUAGACUUGUAGCAUUGAAAAACGAUUUUUUUACAAUACCGUUUUGAGGCGCUGUCGGAUUCAUUAAUAAAAAUCUGAUUUUUACGAGGGAAGGGGUGUGGGUCGUCGAGCGUUUUUUACUUCAGCUUAUCUGCGCCUUGAUGGGGGACGGGUGUCCUUGUCUGUGCGCGACGUGGGGUGUUUCCCCACUUGCCAUGACGGCGCGUGGGGAGUAGACGCCGCUGUCCUUGGGCUAGUCCAGCCUGGUACCCGACGUGGAAGCUUUGGUUGGUCCGUUUCGUCCGACAGAUCGACUCUGGUCUAAUCAGUGCUUGACAGCCAUGCAACGAGCAGAGUUUCUUUUGGUAUUGAAUUCGACCCAAUAGUUUUCGAGCCGUUUCACAUUGAGGAUGCACUUGUUUCGGAUCUGGAGGACGUUUCUUUCCGGGGAUUUGAUACGUUUGUUAUGAGGCGAAAGAUUUGAUAUCGAUAGGCCCCAGUGACGCUAUCCCAAUGCAAGUGACGAAGCGCGUGGACACGCAGGAGAACGAUUUGGCGGACUGGAACUGGCGGACGGAGGGGGACAUCAUGGUGAACGGCGCCUUCUUCGUGCCGUCCGGGGUCGGCCUCAGCGCCCAGUACUCCCAAGGCCUCCAGCCUCGAGCCCAAGUCCGCCGGCCUCACCAAACAAUUGACCAUGAAUGCCGGUGUCUUCGGCGAUCCUAGGUACACUCUCCCUCUCUUCCUUGCAGGUUCUUUUCCCGGCAUUUUGGUUAGUUAUCAUUUGCUUCAAAAGUCGACUCAUUUUACUCUGCUAAGCUCAGUCUCGGAUGCCGAAUUUAGAUUAGAAGGUUGCUUUGCAUUUGUUAGAAUAUAUAAAUAUUAAAUCACGCAUUUAUUUAACAGUUUAAACUUUUAGAACAGUUAGUGAUAGUCCAUAAAAUCUCAUAUUACUCUAGAGGCAAGAAUGGGGAUAUGAUAAUUUGACAUUGAGUUCAAAAGAUUACAUCACACAUUUUAUACAAAGUUGCACCAAGUUACUAAGCUUUCCAUUGGUUCGUCAUGGCAAAGCUUUAAAUUAUGGUAACUUUUGAUAGUAUCAUACUUUAUUGGCACAUGAUCCAGAUUAGGAUUUUUGUGGAGUUCAUUGUUAGUUAGUAGAAAAAUAAGUUCUACGCUGAGGUGUUACUGGUGCUUUCUGCUUUUCAACUAUCUAUCUCAACUGUCAAGCAGAUUUGGCAUGCCCAUUUAUACUUGAAUACAGCUCUUCACAAAUGCAUUUUCAUCCGAGAGUUUCGGGUAAAUUGCAUUCUUCCAGGAGUUUUUUCUUGGGGUAGAGAACAAAUAGUGUGUUUUAUCUGAUUGGUCUUUUGUUAGAUCUUGACAGCUUUUGCUUAGGUACCCUUCACUUUGAAUGACUGAUUUUUGCGAUGCUCUACAAAUUGGAAGCAUCUACCAAUUGGAACGGUUGGAUCGAUAAUUCUCAGGGGAGAGAUAUUCUAUUUAUUUCUUUGUUUUGAAACGACAACGGACCGAAGAUGAAUCCGGAUUUAACACCUUGCCAUCGUUCCUGAUAAAGUCAUUGUUGACCACAGAACCCUGUCACUUUAGCUGUCACUAUGAAGGGGUAUAAUUCGUCUUCGUCAUCGUGUGCCUGCUUUUCUCUUUCUCAGUUGCUCUUGUUGAUCCAUGGCCUUUUAACCAACAAGGAGAGCAAGUUGUUUUCGCUGGAAUCUCAUUUGGAGCUAAUCACCAGAUCAUCAUGAAAAGUCACUGAUAUAAAAAAAGAUAAAAACUUUCCACUGCAUAUAAUAAUAUUACAGACAUUAUGGUGAGCUUUUUUCUAUUAUUUUGUCAUUCUAUCUUUGCACGUGAUCUUGCGGGGCUUAGAGCAAGAGGGCCAACAGUACAGCCUUUUAGUUCAGUUGUCCUUUUCCUUGUGUUGCCUUUUCCAGUUCAUGAAUAAUCUGCAGUCCUUUGCAGUGAUUUCUUCUUUUUUUAUGAAAAUGGAGAAGUAAAUCCUCUUUUUGCCCUCUACUUUUGACCUUUUUCUCUCAGUAGGCCAUUUAGCGAUUCUUGACCAAUCCCUAGGCAUGCUAGUCGAAACCUAUACUCGAGUCCAUUUAAUGCAUGCCUUCAUCAUCGCAUUGAUUUGCGAUCAAAAGUCCUAGAAUUUAUUCUACCAAUUCGAAUCUCUGAUUUCGGCGACAAUUGCUUCGAGAAAAAUAGGUGAAAUGACGUAAAAAUGCAUAUUCUUUUUCCCGGUAUUGUUUAGACAGGGAAAAUUGCACGCCAUUUUCUCCUAAGUUUUGACAAGUUCAAAUUUUUUGGAGUAGAAUCCCUUGUCUGAUGAGAAGGCUCACUCAAGCUGAUGAGUAGCUUUUGCGAUAUGGACAUCCAGGCUUGUAAUAGUAAAGUGAACCCAACCCAUGUGCAAUCCUGCCUAGGAAUAGCAUACAGGGCAAGAUGAGAUGCUUUUUAGCUUUUUCUGGCAUAUGGGUUUGAGUGGAGGGGACAGUGACUACUUUGGAAUGAUAUUUGGGAGCGAGGCUCCACCGACACAUUCAUCAGCUACCUGCAUCCUUUUGUCUUUACUAAUCAUUUUGGUUUUGUACACUAUCACCAACCAUGGUGCUCUAUUAUCAUUGCAAUUAUUGACAUUGUAGAAACAUUGGAGAAAAGAAGAAAAGUAUUUUCAUGCGCAUGCAUAACAAACACUGAAGAGAGCGAAAAGAAUAAAAAGAAAAUGAAAAAAAAAAGAGUUUCCCUGACUAGUGUGGUUGCAUUGCCUACCCACUUCUCUAUAAUCGAAAGUGCAUCGAGGCACGACGUUUUGGCAAAAGAAGUUGAAUGCAUAAUGCUCCUUCUAAUCUAGUUUAGUGAGUUCAACGUCGCAAAAUUAGAAAAAAAAUGAAAGAUGAAAAAGCUAUUCGAUUCGAUUUGCUUCUUAACUACUAUCGGGUUUGGUUAUGUUUCUAGUAUUCUUCAAGACGUAUUUAUGUGCUUUGCUUCGGAUUGAUUUGACGCUCGAAUUGCACCGUGCUCGCUCCUGUGCGAUGUGAAUGCAUGUGGUACGGAUGGCUCGGGUGACUAUUAUAGGGGGCUCUACUUGCUGCAUUAAUUUCAGGGCAUUUUUUUCCUUCGUUUCUCCAGCCCACAUCAUCUUCAUCGGUCCUUUGAUCACAGCGUUCACGAGCGUCUCCACAUUGAAAUGAAUACGAUUUUCGAGAAAUUUAUUUCCCGUGACGGGAAAGGAAACUAUUGAUUGAAAUUCUCUAAAUAUCCUUCGAACAAUCGUCAACAAAAUCUUUCAGUUUUUGUCCUAUAUACUUUCUUAAAAAGCGAUGAAGUAGGCCUGAGUUCGAACAUGGGCCUGUCCCGGAACAACAUCGGCCCUGCCAAACCGUCAAAACCGAAAUUGGGCAUGUGCCACCCCUAACCACCGGUCAACUAUCCCCAGCACUUGUUCAAAAAAAAAAAACACAACAAUCGCACCGCAUAACUUUAGUAACUUGAACACUAAAGCCAAAGGAAAAUAAAUGGAUAGAGGGUAGCUCCUAUUUCGAGCCAAUCUAUGUAAUUCCUCGGCUAAUUGGACCCAUUAUCAAUGCCGGUCACAUGUCGUCCCGGGUCGCUUGAUCCAAUAUUGUACGGAAAUGUUUGGGCUGCUCCCAUGAUCCCAAUUUGGAAUGAAAAGUUGAUCAAGUAUAAUGUAUUAUCACAUGAAUUAUUACCAACUUAAAGUCUCAGAUGACAUUAAAAGCAAUCACUUUAUAUCCGAAUUUCUCAUCAACCACUUUAUAGAUAUUUUAUAAAAAAUGCAAUCUUCACUCUAUGGGAAGUCAAAAGAAUCAUAAAGUGUGACCCGAUCAAUCACUUUCUAAUUUCCUGGACCUUUAGGCCGCACAUGGUAACGUUUCUAUUUAUUAGAAUUUAUGUUCUUUUGUUCCCUAGAACAAAAAAAGAACAGAAACCCGUUUGGUAAUAUCAAGUUGUUUUUCUAUUCCCCGGAAUAGAAACUUAGCCUAUGAAUGGUUUUGGAAUAAAAACGAGAAAAAAAAAUGCUUCUGUUCCCAGGAAUAAUUUCUAGAAAUAAACUAAUUUUCUUUUUUAUUUUUCUUUUAUUCCUCUCGCUUGUCGUUGCCACCUCCAACCGCUUGCCGCCGGCGAUCCGUGAGCAAGAAUAAAAAACGAAUAAAUACAAAAAAGAAUCGUUGCAUUACCAAACGCAAUUCUAUUCUUUUUCUAUUCCAAUAGUAGAAAUUUUGUGUAGUUACCAAACGGGUUCUUUUACUUAGAAAUUGUUCCCUAUAAUAAAAAUAGAAAAGAACUAUUUCUAAAAAAAAAAAAAACUAUUUUCCAAUCAAGAAGUGUUGUCCUACGCACGGUUCUAGUAUGAAUCUGAGGUUUGAAUCAAUUCAUAGGGUCUUAACAAGGGAAUUCCUAUCAAUAAUAAGAAAAGAAUAGUAAAGCUGCAUUACACACAAAAAACGAAAUAUAAAUAACAAAUCAAAGAAAAAGAAGUAGGUAAAUAGAAGAUUCAAGAGACUUGUAACGAUCAACAUAAAGACGGACGAGUCGAUUUGAUAUUUUGGCAUUACAACCACUUUACCCUCCCCUCCCCCGUCCCCUACAACAUAGCCGUUUGCCCGACGUGACACGUGGGCCCCAGCGGGACAUCACGACCUCACAUGCGAAGAAGGAAGAAACAAGGCACCUCCAUCUCCGUCGCAUCCUUAAGCCAUCCUACACUUUCCUUUUUGCCCGCGAAAAAGGCUUUCGAUUUUGUACCGAAUUCUUUAAUCGCCCCCAAAGUCCAAAAGGACCCCGACAAUGUACCGAUCAACGUCAUGUGGAAAAAUUGGGUAAAUGAUGGACAUCCAAUUUAUUUCCAAAGAGUGCGGGCCAGCUAAACCACCCAUUUUCCCCAGAACGAGGUCGGUGCUAAGAGGGCUUGAAAGUUCAAACCACCACUCACGAACCUCAUUCAGUUGCAGCCUUCAGAAACGAGAAAAGCUCUCUGCAAAUCCCUGGUUUUCACCUUCAUCUUCUUCAAAAGGUUUUCGAGGGGUAGACAUGGUGAUCAAGUCCCUGCAGGUGACGGGGAUGUCCGCCAAGGACCUCCACAACGUCCACCUUACGCAUAAGAUGCACCCGUAUGUCACCGUCUCCCUCUCCGGCAACCACAAGAAGAGCACCGACGUCCACAAGGACGGCGGCACCAGCCCUAGUUGGGUCGACCUCCUCACCUUCCCCGUCGACGAGGCCUGCACCGACCUCCUCACCCUCGUGUUCGAGAUCAUGAGCAAGAAGUCCCGCGGCGGCGAGAAAGAGGUCGGCAGGGUCAAGGUGCCGAUCGCGGAGCUGCUCGAGAAGCAGGGGGACGGGAGGGCCAAGCAAAUGAGCUGCAGCGUGAGUCUGCCGUCCGGGGUCG
This 51439-nucleotide long non-coding RNA is filed under the name Eucalyptus grandis. RNAcentral's name for it is "long non-coding RNA (EGRA_LNC004444)". Lineage: Eukaryota; Viridiplantae; Streptophyta; Magnoliopsida; Myrtales; Myrtaceae. The record is from RNAcentral.